ACAUCAUAACCUAUUCAUACAUGUUUCCGUCUUUUAAGAUACACCAUUUGAGGUUCCAACAACCACUUACCCCUAUUAUUAAAGACCAAAUCAACCUUCUGAAUCAUUCUUCAAAGAAAACAAAUGCAAGCCAUAAAAAACAAGAAAAAGGACCUAUCGGUAUAAAAAACAGAAUAUUUAAAGAGGACCACUACCAAUAAAAGGACAAGGACGUUAGAGGGCCCCUACCAAUAAAGGGACAAAGAUCAAAUACGGCCAAAUAAAAGUAAAAAAAAGCAAAAAUAGUGAAUAAACAACUAAAAUCAACAAACAAGUAGACCCCAUAUGAAUAAAGAAAUCAAGCAUCAACAAUAACUGAACCCCUAGGUCCAGAGUCCAGACCAACAUAAAAAGGGAAGGGACCAUAUGCAACCAAAAAAUUAGUGAACAAAGAAAAAAGCUUUGAAUAAACAACUUAAAUCGACAAAAAUAAGACAACCCCAUGCUAAUAAAUUAAACAGAUGUUACCAAAAUCUAAGCUGGACCGCAUGCAUCAAAAAACAAUACUACUAACAUUGAAGCCAAAACUGACACCUUACAGAAUAUCAGAAGAAUCAUGAUUUGUGUUUAUUUCAAGAAACCCUAAGCAAAGAUCAACAAUAAAGUCGUACUUGAAUGGAGAGAAUGUUUGUUCAAAAGUUAUCAUGUACUUUAUGAGUGUGAAAUUAUACACAUUAAUCGAGGUAAAAUCAUAACAAACUAUAAUAAUCCAAUGAACCAAAUGAAAAAAAGUGAAAAAAAGUACUUAGAAUUAGGGGAAGAAAUAUUAGAAGCUUUUAUUGAUGAUAUUGAGUUGGUAUACCUCUCCGUGGAGAGGUUCAGAGCCUUACAAUGGUGUUUUCCUUUCCCACAAUAUGGGUUUCAUUCUCUCUUUUCUCUCUCUUGUGAAUAGUGGCAAAGAAGAAGACCCCUUUUUAGGGUUCCCUUUCUUAGUAUUUAUAGCUGUGAGCUGCUGUCAAUAAGUGGUUGUGACCACGUUGUGGAUUUUCCCUCAUGAUAGUGAAUGGGUCAUCGCCUUAUUGGUCGAAUCUAAUAAGGGUUAAGUACCAUUGGCUUUAAAUGGUCAUACGACUUAUUAAUCAUGAAUUAAACCAAGAACAGGAUUACCCUCAUUAAUUGUCGUAGGGUCAUACUGACCCAUACAGUUAGUCCGUUCGCUUAUUAAGGUCGUGCCCUGGCCGAACUCGAUGAGUGGACUUUGUUGACGGUAGUUCAUGAAAUUCGGGGAGGGGGGUCAAAUGUUGCUUCGGUCGAGGAAGAAUUAUCUUUGGAGAUGAUUCUUAACCUUAAUAUUGUCUACGGCCUUAGCCGUUUACAUACUGAAGAUGGCUUUAGACUUAAUACUGUCGACGACCUUAGCCUUAAUACUGUCGACGGCCUCAGCCGUUUACAUAAUGGAGAUGGCUUUAGCCUUAAUACUGUCGGCAACCUUGUAGAGUGUGAGUGUUUUGCUAUGUGUUGGGUCGUCGUUCGAUCGAGGUUGAACUCUCCUCUUUAGCGAAGACGUUUAGCCUCUAUACUAAUUCUAGUGAAGUCGUGCAUUGUGCUUUGAAGCUUACGUCUUCUUGGAGACUGGUAGUAUGUUGUAUGACCGAGGAGGGUGAAAAUGCGCUUGGCACACUUUUGGCGACGUCCGAAAUUUCCAUGGCAUAUGGAACAUUCCCUCAGCGUACAUAGGUCUUUAUGACCUUUUAACGGCGAGGCGCCGGUUGAUAACUGAAAAGUCACUUCAUGGAGCCUGUCAUAAUGACGCACGUUUCUGUAAAAAAUGAACCAUUUUGUUGUUGGUCAUGUAGUUAAUGAUAGCCAUUGGGGUUUGUGAAAGCCACUUGUGUGCUUCUAAAUAAGGGGUUGAGACAUUUAUUUCUGACAUUCACAUUGUUGGUCUGAGAGAGAUUUUGAAAAAACCCUUCUUCUUGUUGUUUCAUCUUUCUCUUUGUUCUUCGAUUUUUAUAACUUCCAUUUUCCCACACAAUAUUACCUUGUUCUUAUUAGUGAAUCAGUGAUGACAGGCACUUUUCCUCUAAAUGUUCUCCCGACAAAAUUCCUGGUUAGUUUUCCGGUGGUUGAGGGGCCAUCUCUAGCAAUGAGAAGCGCAGGUCCGACGGAGAUAGACGAAACUCCGUCAAUUGAUGAGAUAUUAUCUUUGCCCAGAGGCCUGAUGAUUGACUUCACCGAUGAUGGUAGAGAGGACCGGGUGGAUGAAGCCUCAUUAAUGGGGGAAGUUGGGAUGGUCCAACUACGGGAACAAUGGGAAAUCCCUAGCUAUGCGAACGUCAUUCUCACUCGAAGCGAGGAGAGGGUACACACUGACUGCAGGGGGUACUACGUCUUCUAUGCCUAUCCCUUUAAGUUGGGAUUCAAGCUUCUGCUCCCCAUGAUGGUAGUUGAAUUUUUCCAUUAUUACGGGUUUUGCCCGGUUCAGCUUACCCCUUAUCCUUAAAAGUUACUGGAGAUGUUCAUCAAGUAUGCGGAACUGGCCAGUAGGGAGGUUACGUUGCAGCACAUGCUCAGUCUUUACGCUCCCCAGAGGGUACACGGUACCAUGAUUCGAGCACGUCCUCGUGGGUCGAGGGGCCUUACCGUAGAGCUGGACAAUGAGGUCGGGCUUGCCCCUUUGAGAAUUUCUUGUAUAUCAGGACUAAUCACUUAGUGGCGUCGCUAUCUAGGUUCCCAGAGACUUGGAACCAUGCACGUAAUUUUUUGAAUCGUUGAAUCCUCUUUUCUGCCCCUCUUUACGUCUUGCACCCGUAAGAUUUAAUUUGUGUGAAACUUUGUAGCUGAAAGGUCGCUGCCAGCUCCCAUAGCUAGGAUACGUGAGUGGGUAGAAGCCGUGCUCCCCCAUACAUAGGGAUACGCACGUGGGCGUCUUUUUGAGAGAGGCACGACCAUAGGCCUGUGACAGGUAUAAAGUUGAGUUCUUCUUCUAUCCCUCUUUGUUUCAAUUUGGUUUCUCAGCUUUGUUUUUUUUUAUCAGAGAGGGUACGCCGCGUCAGGGCUCCUCAGUUGGCCUUCCGUCGGCGGGGUGCAAUUUCUUGACUUAUUGCAGCAACGGUACCGUGCACAGUACCGAGGGCGGCAUCAGUUGAGUCUUCAGCACGGGCUGCACUUCAGGAUGAGGGGCCGUCAAGGGUUGUGAGCCAUAGAGCAGAAUCUCCCUCGACUGAGGAGGAGUAAGAGAGGCCAUUGGUGAGAUUGAGGGUCAUGUUCAUGUCGGCUCCCCCUAUGAUGAUUAAGAUGGACUACCCCAGUGGAUACGGAGAGGAGUGCGACUACGUUACCUUUCCCUGAGGGCGAACAAACAGUGGGGGUUGCCCCAGUUGACUUAGGCCGUGAUGAUACCGUCGCUUUGAUGACUCAAAACCCUACAGGGACAAGAAUCAGAUCGGUUCCAGUCACUGAGGUGGGAGGCAGUUCCUCAACGGCUGCUAUUGUUGGUGAAUCAAGUGUCCCUUUUGGCGGCAGAAGGUGGGAGGGACGUUGUAGAUGAGUAUGGGUUCGAAUUCAAAUUGGACCCUGUUAAUGUACGUACGUUCCGAGAGGGCUUCACCAAUUUAUUGGUGCAUGCAGAGGGGCGAUCUCCCUUCAUUGAGGUUCCCACGGAGUUGAACGUAUAGCUCCAAAGGAAUAGCUUGGUUGGUACCGUUAUAUGAGGUGGUAUGCUCUGAGGCUGAGAAUGCAUCGUUGAGGGACGUCAUAGAGCCUGAUGAAUGAGGUGGUCGUGAUGGGCCUGAGGGUAUGUAUUAUAACCUUGAUCUAUAUUCUCUUGCCCUAGUUUAUUCUUUAUCUAACUUGUUGUUUUUGAUGUACAAUCUUAUUUGUUGGAGGUGGAGAGCAUGCGCCGAGCCAACGUCCUCUCGAGGAUAUUUUUGCGGGUGUUGGCUAAGUACCUCCGCUAGAGAGAUCGGUGCCGAGAGUUGCAUGAGAUCUCGAGAUCUGAUCCUCGCAACCGAGCCUUGGUCAAGGAGCUAGUGAGGCGAGAGCUUCAGUUGCAGCAAUUACUUGGUAAGACGCGCGCUCUUGAGGAGCAACUUCGUUAGAAGGAUAAGGAACUCGAGGCGGGAGCUUCAGUUGCAGCAAUUACUUGGUAAGACGCUCGCUCUUGAGGAGCAACUUCAUCAGAAGGAUAAGGAACUUGAGGCGGGAAGGAUGGUUGCGACUGAGAGCGAGUGUCGUGGCUAGGAUAAGGAGGUGGAGUUGUUGCAGCCUGGAGCAAGAAAGUGGAUACUUUGGAGAGUGAGGUUGCGGCUCUAAGACUUUGGGUGAGUGCUUCCUCGUCGAAAGUCACAGGGUUGGAGGAGUAAAUCCGCGUGUGUGAAUCUCAACGUGAGUCAGAAAGGGCUACGACGACCAAGAGGGAAGCAGGGCUCGAGGAGCGGAUCGACCUUCUUGAGUAGGAGGCCCAGAUUAUGGAGGAUCAUGAUCACGCCUUAGAAAGAGAGAAUCAAUAGCUGUGGGACCAAGUCAUCGCUUCCAGCCAGGCUUUUGAGCUUUUGGUCUUUACCGAGGCCUAAUGUGAUAUGUAUAAGAAUUUAUGGGAGGCCGACAUCAUGACCGAAGCUGCUUUCGAGAAAGCAUGCCACAAGGCUCGUGAGGCCCAUACCGACUGUGGUUUUGUAGCGGCGACGCCAGAUAUUGAUGGUAUAGGUGGUGGCGCGGAUAGAAGUGUUGGAUUUUAGGUGCUACUUGUUUUUCUUUUUCUUUGUAUUGACUGGCCCUGGCAGAGUGUAAGCAGGGAUGACCCGCAAUUAAAUGAUAUUCCUUUUUCAUUAUUUGCUUUGUACCUAUAUUGUACCUUUACUUCUUUCCCCUCAGACUUUUCUUUGUACGCGUUCGAAGGGGUGAUUUGUCUUUGAGUUUGACUCUGGUAGGCAUAUUUAUUUUUUAUUGUUGAUGACUUUUUUCUUUGACUCUGUGUGAGCGGGUCGGAGCCGUUACUUGGCGAUAGUGGCACAGAGCCUUAGUCCCAGUUCGGGCAUGGUCGAACUACUGGUCGUGAUGAUAAAAAGUAUGGCCUUGUAGUUUGAGCGGGGCCGAACUUUACGUGGCUCGAAUCUUUGUUCGAGGUGGGAGUACUUACUUGACUGAUGAGGGAUCCUAGUCUGCGCCUAGAUUCGUCGGAGUUUGGGUCUUGCUAGAUUCUAUGAUGAAGGCGCCUGGCCUGGGUCUAUGUUCAACUAUGGUCGAGCUUGUGAGAUUUUAGGACAGAGGCGUAUAUCAUUGCAGUUCGGGUGGGGUAGAACCCGUUAGAUUCAAUGGCGAAGGCGCAUCGCCUAAAUUUUUGUUCAGCUGUUGAACUUUGUUAAAUUUGAUGGCGAAGGCACAUAGCCUGAGUCCUAGUUCAAUCGUAGUUGAGCUUUGCUGAUUCUGGCAGUGAACGAGAACAACCUGAGUUCCGAUUCAACUGUAGUUGAACUUUGUAAAUUUGAUGGCGAAUGCACAUAGUCCGAGUCUCGGUUCAACCGUAGUUGAACUUUGACAAAUUUGGUGAUGAAGGCGCGUAGCCUGAAUCUUGGUUCAACCCGUAGUUGAACUUACUAGCGAAGGCGCGUAGCCUUGAUUUAAUAGCGAAGACGCAUAGCAUGAGUCCCGGUUCAACCGUAGUUGAACUUUGUUAAAUUUGAUGACUAAGGCGUGUAGCCUAAGUCUUAGUUCAACCGUAGUUGAACUUAGUGGCGAAGGUGCGUAACCUUGAUUUAAUAGCGAAGGCGCAUAGCAUGAGUCCCGGUUCAACCGUAGUUGAACUUUGAUAAAGUUGAUGACAAAGGCAUGUAGCCUGAGUCCCAUUUCAACUGUCAUUGAACUUCGUCGAUUUUGAUUGCGAAGGCGCAUAGCGUGAGUCUUGGUUCAACCGUAGUUGAACUAACUGGAGAAGGCGCAUAGCCUUGAUUUUACGGUAAAGGUGCAUAGCUUGAGUCCCCGUUCAACCAUAGUUGAACUUUGAUACGCGUAGCCUGAAUAUUGGCUCAACCGUAGUUGAACUUACUGGCGAAGGCGCCCUUGAUUUAAUGGAGAAGGCGCAUAGCAGGAGUCCCGGUUCAACCGUAGCUGAACUUUGAUAAAUUUGAUGAUGAAAGCGCGUAGCCUGAGUCUUGGUUCAACCGUAGUUGAACUUACUGGCGAAGGUGCGUAGCCUUGAUUUAAUGGCGAAGGCGCAUAACAUGAGUCCCAGUUCAACCGUAGUUGAACUUAGAUAAAUUUGAUGAUGAAGGCACGUAGCCCGAGGCCCAUUUCAACUGUCGUUGAACUUCAUCGAUUUUGAUGGCGAAGGCGCAUAGCCUGAGUCCCAGUUCAAUUGUCGUUGAACUUCGUCGAUUUUGAUGGCGAAGGUGCAUAGCCUGAGUCUUGGUUCAAAUGUAGUUGAACUUAGUGGAAAAGGUGCAUAGCCUUGAUUUGAUGGUGAAGGCGCAUAGCCUCAGUCCCGGUUCAAUCGUAGUUAAAAUUUGAUAAAUUUGAUGACGAAGGCGCGUAGCCUGAUUCUUGGUUCACCGUAGUUGAACUUACUGGCAAUGGCGCAUAUCCUUGAUUUAAUGGCGAAGGCACAUACCCCGAGUCCCGAUUCAACCGUAGUUGAACUUUGAUAAAUUUGAUGACGAAGGCGCGUAGCGUGAGUCUUAGUUCAACCGUAGUUGAAGUUACUGCGAAGGUGCGUAGCCUUGAUUAAAUGGUGAAGAUGCAUAGCCUGAAUAUCGCUAUGUCAAUGUUUGAGAGUUGAAGCUUGGUUUUGAUUCGAGAUCCUGAGCAGCUUACGCGCUAUCUUCUCAAUAGGGAUAUGUAGGCUGGCUUGAGGCAACUCUCGGUUCGAGAUAUCUUCGUGCUGGUUUCCGACUGUGGCCCGUAUCAGGGAUGCGGGAGAUGCCUUACAGAGAUCCUCCCUUAGGGCCAUCAGGGGGGGGGGUUUCUUCUUCUUGCUUGUACUAUCCAGAGAGGAGAGACAAAAUAGUUGGAUCUCGAUUCGAGAUCUUUGAAUUCCCUCUGUCCGAUAUACUGCUUUGGCUUGUUUGAGCUGGGUUGCUCUUUGUUGCUUCUUUCCUUUUGGUUCAGGGGAGAACUACGCAAUUUUAUUAUGAAAUCCCCACAGACGAUGCCAAAUUGUCUGCUCAUUAUGAGUGUGAAACAAUACACAUUAAUCGACGAAAAAUCAUAGCAAACUGUAAUAAUCCAAUGAACUAAAUGAAAAGAAAGUGAAAACAAGUACUCAGAAUUAGAUGAAGAAAUAUUAGAAGCUUUUAUUGAUAAUAUUGAGUUGGUCUGCCUCUUCAUGGAGAGGUUCAGAGCCUUACAAUGGUGUUUUCCUUUCCCACAAUAUGGGUUCCUUUCUAUAUGUUCUCUCUCUCGUGAAUAGUGGCGAAGAAGAAGACCCCUUUUUAGAGUUCUCUUUCUUAGUAUUUAUAGUUGUGAGCUUCAUGGGCAGUCAAUAAGUGGUCGUGACCACGUUGUGGAUUCACCCUCACGAUGGUGAGUGGGUCGUCGCCUUAUUGGUCGAAUUAGAUAAGGGUUAAGUACCAUUGGCUUUAAAUGGUCAUACGACUUAUUAAUCAUGAAUUAACCCAAAAACGGGAUUAGCCUCGUUAAUUGUCGUGGGGUCAGAUUCUGACCCAUACAGAGAAGACUUUAACUUUAAUAAACAACUUCAUUCCGUCAACUUCAGUAAAAAGUUAUCGCGGAAAAUCUCAAGAAGUCAAGCUCCAAAAUCGCCGACCAUUUCGCCCUUUUUACUUAGAGAAGAUGAAGUGGGUGAAAUGACACAUUUGAAUUAUGUGUGGGUAAAAACCAAUUAGAUACGGCCACGUGGAAUUAAUAAUAUGUUUAUAUAUAAUACAACUUAUCCGUUAGAAUUAAGGGCACAAGUACAUCAGAUUUUUAACUGUAGGGUUAUUAUUUGCAAAAUAGGUUAACGAAAGGUAUUUUUAUAUUGGAAUUGAUUCGUUAUGGGCAGAUCUAACCCUUUUCCGUUAUUGUUGUUGUCAACUGACACUCUAAGUCAAUAAUAGAAAAUGAAACUUUCACGGGGCAUCGGAACUUAACACAAAGCAACCAAAAAAAGAGAAGAGAAGGAGACCAUUGCCAUUAUAGUGCAGAUGAUAUAUUAAUAUGAUCUACAAUAAGUGAAGAUGGGACACAGUUAUUUGCAAGACUACUAGCUCACUCGAAGACAUUAGGCCACUAAACGAUUUUUUAUUAUUUAAAUUUCAUAUCGUAAUUCUCACUUUUAUUAUACCUUUUUCACAAUCAAAUAAUUCCAAAUACCGUUAUCUAUUCUUGUAGGUAUUGCAAACCCAAAGGUGCAACUAUUCUGAAUUUCUAGCCAUAUAUAAUUAAUUAACCAACCAUCCUAUAUCAUAUGUGUACCAAAUACCAUUUGUUAUGUAACAUAGAAAAAUAUUGUUCGAUUUUAUUUACACAAAUUCAAUAACCUAAAAAGUUAGGUCUCGCACAUGAUAAACUUUUUUACAAAAAUUAUAGGUACGUGGUAUGUGUUCUUACGUUUAUUAUUUGACUAAUGCUAAAAUGUCUGUAUGGUUCAAACACUAUGUAUAUGUUCUUUUUUGUUUUUUGUUGAUGCACUUAUUUGUUGCAGGAAAACCAAAAAGUGCAACUAUUGUGAAGUUGUUAACAUAAUUAUGUAUCAACCACCCCAAUAUAUGUAUACACCAAAUACCAUUUGUUCUGGAUUAUUUUCUAUAAUUAAUAAUAUUUCGAGGAAAGUAGUAUUAUUGUUACCUUUCCAUUAGUUGAAAGAGAAGGAGUGAUGAUUAUGUCAAAUGAGUAGAGAGAUUGGGGAAAAGCGCAUGCCCGUAUUAGCAGCAACAUUACUAUCAUUAUAGUCUUUCUUUACUCAUCACACUCUUCCAAAUUUAUAAAAUAUUUUUCUAUUUUCCCCCUUUCUCUGAUUUAAUGGGAUUUCCUUUCCAAGUAUAUAAGUCAUUUUUCUUUUCGAACAAUGUAGUAACGUUCAUACAAAUUGGUUACGUGAAGGUAAGAUAAAGAGUAAUUGGUUGUUAUAUGAAAUAAAUAAUUGAAAAAACUAAUGUUGAUAUCAAAUUAUCAUGAAUUGUCUUACACGACCUUUGUCAACAUCUUGAAAGGGAAGGAACACAUACGAGGACUGUAGAUUUUUUUAAUCGAAAGAGCUGUAUAUGAACUGUGUUUUGCUCAAAAGAUAUACACAUUUUAUGAGCUUAAAAACAAUAAAAAAAGAUGGAAGGAUAAAUCGUAAUCAGGGAUAAUAAGUCCUAGAAUAGAUUGUUUACGAAGAUCGUGAUAGAACGGAAAGUAUAAAUGAUAAUAGAAAAUUUUUAUAUCAGAAGGAGAUAAGUAAAGAGAUAAAGAGAUGUUUGCCAAAUAAUAAUAGAGAGAGAAAGUAGAGAGAUAGUAUAUCUAGAGUAAUAAGGAAUCUGCCUUAUUAAAAGGUGAAUUCUUCUUUAUACAUUAGGAGACCUUUCUCGAAAUACACGAAAAGAAGAAUACAAAAGUUGGUGGCUUCCUUGUACAGAAGAGGCCAGGCCUAAACGGUGUCGUUUCUUUGCUUAAUUGAUUAGGACGUCCUUGGUCGGGACGUCCCUACCUGGCUAACAAGACUUCGAGGGCGCCUUCGCUAUGAGGGACGGGUUUGUUUAUACGGCGACGAAGUGAAUCAAAUUUUUUCCCAUACAGUUGGUCCCUCCGUCCGUUGGGGGCGUCCUCGAGGGGCGUCUUCAAUGACGGAUAUGUAUGCUUAUGUGACAGUAUAGAGCCAUUGACGCUUAGCUCCUUUUUAGGAUGACGUCAUUGAUUACGUGCAUCAUUAUUACUUUCACUCCCGAGGCAAUUCAGAUCCUGACGUGACUUAUGGGUUUACCGCACCGAAUUUUGAAUGAUGCUGCCUAGAUCUCCGUGUACCUCACUCCUAUAAACAACGGAUCGGUUCAAAACGAUUCAUCGUUCGAAUCUCUAAAGGAUAUUUCUCUCUUUCCCUCAUUCUAUUUUCUGGUAUCAGUGCUUUCCUUAAAAACUGUUGUUUCUACGGGUCGAACUUUACAUCUACUUAAAACACUCUUCUUUGUAAGCUUUAAUCAUGGUAAAACGAUCUCAAGACAUCAAGAAAUCCAGAAAUAAUGCCCCUUCUAGGGUUUCGCCUCCCUCCGACGGUGAGGCGAAGGUGGUCGAAGAGGUUCUCGUUCCUAUAUCAGUGGUGAAUGUUCUUCCGAAGAACAUGAGCAAAAGAAAUGACUUUAGUCAUAAAAGUUCACCUCCGCCUUGGGAACGUAGCAAAUUGACGUUCUCCCAUCUGAAUGCUCUUAGAAUGGCAUAUGGGUUUCCAAACUACGUUGACAUAGCACCUGUCGGAGAGGAUUAUGCCAACGUGCACAGGCCCGGGUUCUGUACGUUCUACGAGUAUGCAUUCUGGAUCGGCUAUAAUUUCCCGCUCAACACUCUAGUGGAGGAACUUUGCCAUUUCUUCAGGACAUGACCCGCUCAACUUACUCCUUAUACGCUGAAAGUGUGCAGAAUACUUACCACCCAUGCAGAGAAAGCCGGGUGCGCGGUCAAGAUAUACCACCUUCUGCAGAGGUAUAAUGCGAGUUACCUGACGCAUUGCGGGAAGAAAAGCUUCGUGGUGUAGUCUAAUGACAAGGCCAACCGUGGCUAUUGGAAGAAGUUUUUCUACGUUCGGAUUGAGCAUCUGGUUUCUAACCCCGAAGGGUUCCACGAGGUGUGGAACCAGGAGUGUAAGUAUUCCCUUGUGUCUUAUUCAACGCUUUUUGUUGUGACGGCUUAACCCUCAGGGUUCUUUUAUCUGCUAUUGCAGUGGCGGCUCGUAUGCCAAAGGAUUCCUCGUCUCUUUCCUGUGCGGACGACAUUAGGUCGUGGGUGGAGAGGAUGAUUCCGCAUGUGGAGGAGUGCCGUACAUGGGCUCAGUUUUGUAGCACGUACGACCCGACUUGUAACGAUAUUUUCCACAUACCUUUUCUUUGGCAGGCGGGGGGUCUCCAAGAGGGCCAAGAGAAGGAGAACUGAUGCUGGCACGUUCAGAGCGGAGCUGGACUCCGAGUAGGAGUAUGUGCAUGUGGAGGGAUUGCCUGAAGGUAGUGCGCUCUCGUCUCCUCAGCAGGAGGUUGUGUGGGAGCCUGCACCUCAUGCGGCGGCUGAGAUGAUGAUAGAGGAGGAGGUUCUGGUGGUUCCCGAAGUCGUGCCUGAGAGGGGGGGCCGAAGUUGCAUCCGGCUGGGAAGCACUCCCUUUGGAGUCGUCUUCACAGCCAAUGGAGGCAGCUCCCAAAGACGAGGAGUCUCUCGCAAGUAGGAGCCGACGGUUGAUCACCAGCAAAGGUCGUACAUGGGCUCAAUUCUGUUGCGUGUAUGGCCCGAUUGGUAAUGGUCUUUUCCUUAUUCCUUUCUCUUUCCUUGUCCUGAUUCAGGAGUCCUCUAGUUUGACCUACCUUUUCCUUGACAGGACGGGGUGUUUCCAAGAGGGACAAGAGGCGGAGAAGUGAUGCCAACCCAUCUAGGGUGAGACGGGCUCUGAGGAGGAGGACGUGCCUGUGGAGGGUUCGCCUGAAAGUAGCGCGUUCUCGGCUCCUCAGCAAGAAAUUGCACCAAGGGUGGCAUCUGAUGCGGCGACCAUAACGAUGGAAGAGGAGGUUCUGGUGGUUCCUAAGGUCGUGCCCGCGAGGGGGGCCGAAGUUGCGCCCGACAAUAAAGCGCUUCCUUUAGAUCGCCUUCGCAGCCGUUGGAGGCGUCUCCCAAAGAUGAGGAGUCCCUCGCAAGUAGGAGAAAUCGGCAGAUCACCGGCAAAGGAGUGGUGUCGAAUGGGAGAGCGUGCAAUUGCCUCAUCGCGAGUCGGGGCGGUUGUUUAUGGCCGAUGCAAUUCGCUCAAGGAGGGCGCUCCUCGAGGGAGGGCUGAUGUUGAGGCCGAUCUGCCUCCUGCUAGGGAAGAUGGCUCGUCUGCCGCAGCAGCGGGGACAAGUGCGCCUUUGGAGAGGAUGGAUGGAGGAAGGGGCUCUCCAGCUCGUGUUGAGAUGACGGCCGGUAGGUCUACACGCCGCAUUGUGAUCCCCAGCGGCUAUAACCUCUUGGAGAACUGUGAAGAGGUGACCGUAGACAUGACCCUUCUCUGUGCGGGUGCUGAGGGUUAGGCAUUGGCGGAGGUCUGUGACAGGGGCCUGUGUCGAAGGGUUGGCCUUGCAGGUAAUUUUGGCCCUUCUUCACAUUGGUGUCGUAGGGGUGGUCCGCUUGUGUACUAAUUCCUCCUUUGAUACUUCUAAGGUUCUUGUUUUGGAAGUGGAGAGGGUGCGAAGACUGGCGAAGAGGGCGGAUGCCCAAAAAAAAUUGUGGAAGAGGUACAAGUGGGUCCGUGACGCGCAUCAAACGUUGACCGACGUGUACAAGCAAGACCCUGAGUUUAGGCUGUUUCGCAAGGGCCUUACCCAGAUGGAGGAGCAAUUGAAGAAGUGGUUGGCUGAGUUGGAGAGGGUGGGCAAGCAACUCGUGGCUGCGGUCGCCAGGAACACGAAAUUUUAGGCUCUCCUUCGAGCGAAGGACGAUGAGUUGGAACUCGAUCAUGUUGUAGCGGCGGAGGAGGCUAAAAUUCGAGCUUGGGUUGCGGCCUUGACCGCUGAUCUCAAAGCUAAGGAGGAUGAGAUUGAGGCCCUUGUGCGGGCCGCUCCACAAGAAGCUGAGCGUCAGGAUGCUCAUGACAAGUGGGUUUAUCAUGAUUCCCGACUAGUCGUGUUUGAAGAGCUCUUUGCAGCCAGUUGAAUAUUUGAGGGAGACGUGGAUAGGCAGCAAAGUCUGACCCGGGUUGCUCAUGAGGCGCCCAGUUGCCUCUCUGAUUCGCCCGCUAGGGAAGGGUAUAACUCAGAAGACACUAACCGUCUGGCGUUUGCUUCUUGGAUUUCUAGGGACUACCUGCCAGGAGGUGGCGACGGCCCGAGUGCGGAUUGUGCCGGCCAGGGUGACGGGGGUUCCUAGGGUUUGCUUUUGUACCCUUUUUUGUUGUAAUGGGGCCUUUUUCUGAGGCUGGUCAUGUAUGUACUUUUUUGGAUAUAAUAGUACAUAACACGAUAAAUUUUUAUCGUGUUUGCAACUCGUAGCUUGAGCUUAACUCGACCUUUAUCAGGUCUUCCGUUUUGCCGUAGUCAAUAUUGGUUCGACUGUUAAUGGUGAUGGCCUUAGCCAUGUUGGACUGAAUGGCCUUAGCCAUGUAGUUGACUUCGACUGUCCUCGAGUCUCUCUUGUUCUGCCGUAGUCGACAUUGGGUCGACUGUUAACGGCGUUGGCCUUAGCCAUAUAGAAUUGAAUGGCCUUAGCCAUGUAGUUGACUUUGACGUUGUCGAGUCUUUCAUUCUCCCGUAGUCGACAUUGGGUCGACUGUUAGCGGUGAUAGCCUUAGCCAUUUUAAAUCGAUGGCCUUAGCCAUGUAGAAUUGAAUGGCCUUAGCCAUGUAGUUGACUUUGACUUCGUCGAGUCUUUCGUUCUGCCGUAGUCGACAUUGGGUCGAUUAUUAGCGACGAUGGCCUUAGCCAUUUAAAUCGAUGGACUUAGCCAUGUAGAAUUGAAUGGCCUCAGCCAUGUAGUUGACUUCGACUGUUGUCGAGUUUUUCGUUCUGCCGUAGUCGGCAUUGGGUCGACUGUUAGCGGCGAUGGCCUUUUACACAUUGGAGAUGAAGAUGGCCGUGGCCUUUUACACAUUGGAGAUGAAGAUGGUCGUAGCCUUUUACACAUUGGAGAUAAAGAUGGAUGUAGCCUUUUACACAUUAGAGAUGAAGAUGGCCAUAGACUUACACAUUGGAGAUGGUCGUGGCCGUUUUACACAUUGGAGAUGGUGUUGGUCCAGUCCCUGUAUCAGGUCAGGCUUUAAAGAGUAUGGAGAGGCUGACGUGAUACACUUGUCCCAGAAAUAUCUCCAGGUGUUCCCUUUGUUCUCAUUAAAAACCUCCCCGAGAAAACCCAAUUGGAACAAAACUCGUUUGAGGGAAAAAGAGUGCGACUCAGGGGACGCUUUUCAGAAAUAGAAAUAUUUGAGGUGGGCAAUGUUCCAGUUGUUCUCGAGUGUUUUUCCUUCCAUUGUUUAGAGCUGAAAUGCCCCUUUGUUUGCUAUUGAUGUGAUUUUGUAGGGUCCGUCCCAGUUUGCGCCCACUUUUCCUUCGCUUGGGUCUUUGGAGGCCAAUGUCUUGGCUUUGAGGACGUAAUCUCCUACUUUGAGCGGCCUCACUUUUGCAAUUUUGUUAUAGUACCUUUCGACUUGCUGCUUUUGGGCCAUCAUUCUUAUGUGGGCCAUUUCCCUUCUUUCUUCGGCUUCAUCAAGGUCUUGGAGCUUAUGUGCGUCGUUUUUCGUUUUGCUGGUGUGUGAGUACCUCAGGCUUGGUUCGCCUACUUCGACGGGUAUGACCGUGUCAGUUUCGUAAACCAGUGAGUAUGGAGUUUCUUCUGUGCUGGACUUGGGCGUGGUCCUGUGUGCCCAUAAAACUUCGGGUAAAAGUUCAGGCCACUGCCCUUUUGUGUCCUCAAGCUUUUUCUUCAGCAUGUUCAGUAUGGUUUUGUUGGAGGAUUCUGCUUGACCGUUGGCGGCGGGGUGGUAUGGCGUGUGUCAAUGGCCCCCUUUUCCCUAAAAGCGAAAUCGGGAUUACGACAUAAUGGGCAAAAUAACUCUUAUCCCCUUUUGGGAAUUGGGCAAUGGAGUUUGAAGAGUCGCCAGCUAAUGAUUAUAGUGCAUUAGGACACUUUAAGAAGAAAAGAAGAUUUUUGAAAGAAAACCAGANNNNNNNNNNNNNNNNNNNNNNNNNNNNNNNNNNNNNNNNNNNNNNNNNNNNNNNNNNNNNNNNNNNNNNNNNNNNNNNNNNNNNNNNNNNNNNNNNNNNNNNNNNNNNNNNNNNNNNNUGAAAUUAUCUCGAGGGGAAGGUGUUAGGCACCCCUCAAGAUCGACUAGUGUGGUUCCCGGCCUUGCUUAGAUGUGACUUUAAGAAGCAUAUAAAUAGACAAGCAAAGUUUGCACAUAAAGAAUACGAGCAAGUUGACAAUUUUGAAAGGAGGAUAUCACAAGUAAAAAGGAAUUUUAGAGAAAACAUUUAAACAAAGAAAAAGUAAGGGGUCCUAGGUUUAACUAUAAUAUGGAUCAUUCAAUGCAAUAUUCCGCACAUACUCCCAAAGAGGGGUCGCUUCAUGAUAUUAGCCCAUCGUCAUCAUCUCCAUAUUCUACUCUUCCCACCCUGUUAAGGUAUCUAAACGCAGUUAGUCUCGUUUACUUAUUGCAUGCUAAUACCCGUCCCGACCUAUUAGUCCCGGGGUAUUUGGACUUCUUAUCUUAAAAGGGGAGAAAGGGGAUGAGGGCAUAUAUGGAGUUAAAAGGUAAAAAUACUAAGGCGUCAAUCAAAAUAAAUAGCACAUAAGGGGAGUAAACAAACAUACAAAGGCUACACAUAAACCCCUUAAACCAUAAAACAAUUAGUUGAGCAUGACUUGCAAAUACUAAUUUGGUCAUAAGCUUAAAACUGAUAAUUGAUAGAUUAGUUUUACAGAUAAAGUUGGAUAUAAGUCUACUUUGAGCCCCUCUGGUCCGGUUUGUUAGAACUUAAGGUAUUUUAAAAUCUGUAAUUUCAUAAGUUUUGGAAACAGGAUUUUGCCUAGUGUUUUUAUGCAGUUCCUAGAAACAUGAUUCUAUUAUGCUUGCAAUAAAAAUCCUACAGCCAUGAUUUCUAAAUGGGAUGCAACAUUGAAAUUCUAUAGGCAUGGUUUCUAGAUGAUUAACAAUAUUGAAAUCCUAUAGGCAUGGUAUAUAAGUGAUUGAAAUCCUAUAGGCAUGAUUUUUAGAUGAUUGGAAACAAUAUAAACCCCUCCCACACCUUUUUCACUAUAUCCCCAAAUUCUUUUACAAAGCUGGUUACAAAAGUGGAAAGAAAAGACUAAGAAAGUAAAUACAUCAAAGCUAAAACGGUCCCGAGGAAGCCCAAAGCAACCUUAAUGUCCAACAUAUGUAAUAGAAGUUGGAAAUCUCAAGGUUCAAAAUGGACACGAGGAAGCUCAAAGCAACCUUAAUGUCGAACAUAUAUAUUUUACCAAAUCCGAGCUCCAGAUUCCAAGGCUUUCUCUUAGGGUGUUUCAAAGUUCCAAGGGUUUUCAGGAAGCCUAGGCAAUUAUUACACCCUAAAAGAAUUAUUAGAGUUGUGCAAGGUGUAGAAUUACUAGCCCUUAGGCAUCCAUGUUCAGAGGGAACGCUAGGGUUCCUAAGCAUGGCUUACCAUAGGGGGGUAGGACUUAAAGAACUAAGCGUAAGUGUAAAAGUGAGGGAUUAGAGGAAGACCAAAGCAAAGGGGUGGUCAUACCUAGCCAUGAAUGGGACUGGAACACCCUUGACCCUUUACAUGGCUUUAACAAAUAAGAGUGGACUUAAGAAAGUCAGACUUAGGCAUGUAUGGUGAUUAGGACACUGCCAGACCUGAGUCAAGCUCAACAUAAUAGGGGUUAAGGGGGUGGACUGAUUUGAGUAUAUGUUUAGAGCAACCUGGUUCUAAAGUGGGGGUGUCAAUGGAAUGCCACCCUAGUCUAAAACAAUACUCACAUACAAAGGGGAAUUGAAGGGAAGGGGGAUUACAUGAAAGCAUUUGUAGCAAACAGAAUUAAACUUACGGGACUUGGGGAAGAGAUGUACAGGAAGGUACUCAUACAAGCAUACAAUAUCAAAACAUAGGGAUAUGGGGUAGGGAUGUGCAUGCUGAACAUUAAUAUCAUAAUGUACAUAAACAGACACAUGAAAAAGGGUAAGUAAACAUGUAGUAUUGGAGAUGGUACUCAAAUCAUGGACCUACCUAUUGCAAACUAGAAUAGUAAAGCACGUAGGGAAGAUAGAAACUUAUAGUUUAGCCUUGGCUUUCUGCCGGCUAAACUCAAGCAGCAGAACAAAUGGCAGAAAAGAGCAGAAAUGAGAAGAGUGAUUGGGGUGUGAACUUGUGAUUGUUCGUGUUUUUGAAGUAAAAGGGAUGUGGGGUUUUAUAGUUUGAAAGUAAGUAGUAAAUAAGGCAAGAAAAUAACUUAGUAUCAAUCACAAUCAAUUAGGGAAAGGACUCCCUUUAAUUAAGGAACGAGACUUAAGGUAAAUAAGCAGAGUUCUAUUUUUGGGAAGAAAAUCAAGAAUGAGUUGUAAAAUAAAGGGUAAAUACAUAUAAGGUUUUUGAAAUACACACGGUUUAAGCAAAUAAGGUAAAUAAAAUCAUCAAUCACAUAGGGAAUCAAGGAAACUGGUAUUCGUAUACAGUCCAAGAAUAAGUCUAAGUUGGAAAAUCAAAUAUGUUCAUAAAAAUCAACCCCAAAAUUAGGGUUAUUAAAGGGGAAAAUAUGACUAUAAAGAGAUGCAAAAAUUCUGAAAUUAAUAGAACAAUCAUGUAAUCAGAGAGCGGAAGAACAAAGGCAUGAAACAUAUUAGAAGGUCUUGCAGAACUUAACAUGAAAUCAGAAGCAUGAAAGGGACUCAAACAGUUAGGGUUUUGGAAUCAGACAGGAAGCAGAAAAUCACACACCCAAACUCGAAAAUUCCAAAGUCUAAGGUUUCCUCAAAUUUAACAAAUGUAAAGAAGAAAGUAAAAAUACUCAGGUAGACAAAUUCGAAAAGAACGCAAAUACUCACAAAAAGCAAAGUACAGUAGAGAGUCACUAAAAAAUCCUAGGUAAAGGGAAAAUUACAUGGAAUCAUGAGUAAAACGUUCGCAAGUCACAGCAAAAAUAAAGAUAUCGCAGUAGAGCAGUUAAGAGAAAGGAAAAUCGGAGAAACCCUAGUUUUAGGAAGAUAAACAGUUUGAAAAUAGAAUCGGUAAAAAAUGUGGAAAACACUUUGAAACUUUAGAAAAUAAUGUAGAUAUGAGGUAGAUUGGGAAGAGAAACAAAGAAGAAAACCUUGGAGACUUAGGGUUUUAGAGAAAACCAUAGAGAACGAGAAAGCCUGGAACGAACUGAUUUCGAGUCGACAACGGACUCAUAACACCAAGAUUCGUCGGAGAGAGACCGGACAUGGACGUAGAACUCAAGUCGGAGGACCUCUAAGUCGGUGGUCUUCGAGAAAGGGCUUUGAUCUUUGAACAAAGGGGUCAUAGAAGGGGGUGAGGGGUGAGUACAGGUUGCAUGAAGCCUGGAAAGCCAUGUUUUUCGUUGAAACGAGGUCGGAAAGGGUCGGAGGGGGGAUAGGGUUUCAGGGGUUUUGAGAGUGUUUUGGGGAUGAGGGGAAUACAAGGGCGGCGGUCAUUGUAAAAUGAUUAGGGUUAGGGGUGUAUUUGGUUUAAUUAAUGGAAGGAGCUACAUGGACCGUUGAUCUAAAUGAUCAACGGUCCUAAUUAAAAAUGGGGUUCUGGGCGGGUUGAUUUAAUUGGGUCUGGGUCAGGUUAUUUAUAAAUUUUGGUAGUGUAACUGGGGUUGAAAUUAGGGCUAUAAUUUAAAUAAAGAUGGAUAUAAUUUAAAUAGCCAAUUUUUCCUUAUUUUGAAUUUUAUAAAAUAGUAAAUAAUAUUUAAAAAUCAAACUAAACCAAUUCUGAGUUAAUAAACAAUGCAUAAGUAUUAAUUUAAAAAAUGAUUUAUGAUUAAAAAUGCUAUUAAAUCGAGAAAUAGGCUAAAAUUAUAAUUUCAUGCAAUUUUAGUUUAGAAAUACCAAAUGAACUUGUAAAAUUAUGUAAAAAUCAUGUAAAUUAUAUUUUUGCAUGAAUGAGAGAAUAAAAUAAAUUAUUUACCAAAAUAACAAAUUGUGGGAAUAGUUAUUGGAUUUUAUAGUGCAAAAAUAGGGCGUAAAUUGAUUUAAAAAUUCUUUAGAAAUGUGGAAAAGUACCAAAACCUUUGUGGCUGCUUAUAUAUGUUAUUUUUGAGAAUAUUUUGAGCAUAAAAAUUUAUAGGGAAAAAUUGGGUAUCAAUAGCUAUCCCUCUUUACCCGAAGAGUAUGAAAGAGUUGUUGGGUAAAGAUAAGAUGGCCAAUUUUGACCGGAGAUGGUGAUUGUAAAAGGAUAUUGACCGCUCUAUGGUCUCUGAGCUGCCUACAUAUUCCUAGUUUUACAGGAAUCAGGCCAUGUGUAGUUCAGGACAUUUGGGAAUUUGGAAAAACGGACCUGAUGGUUAGGUCUGAGGAGUGCACGGAAUCGGACAAACUGCGGAGAACUGGAGUGGGAUCGCUUUUGUUGAGAUGGCCAUGAGUCUUUUGGAACACCUGUAAAUGCGAGAUGUGNNNNNNNNNNNNNNNNNNNNNNNNNNNNNNNNNNNNNNNNNNNNNNNNNNNNNNNNNNNNNNNNNNNNNNNNNNNNNNNNNNCGUGAUGCAAGAUCCCAUUGGACCACGAAUGUUUGUCCUUGGACGGUUAGGAUGACGUCCUCAGACUAUGAUGUCCUAGGCCAUGAAGAGCAUAAAAUUAAGGGUUCGCAGGGCAUGAAACAAUGUUCUUGUGAUAUGCAGACGGUGCCUUCGAACUAUGAAGCCUUUGAACGAGUUGGAAAUCUUUCAGUCCAUAAGAAUGUGGCAAUCUUUCAGCCAAAUGAAUGCAAAAUGUGGCGAUCUUUCAGCUAGCACAAGAAAAACAUAGGUGGAAAUAUUUCAGCCGAAUGAGAAUUUAAAAUGCAGGUGGCGAUGUUCAGCCAGAUAAAAUGACGAUAUUUCAGCCAUGCAGGGCAGAGACAGUGCUUAGUCUCGAAAGGCAUAUAAGAGCCUUAUGCAAUAUGGACGUAUAGCUUAACCUCGGAAGGCAGAGAAUAGCCUUAUGCAAAAAUGCAGAUGGAGACAGAUCUUAGUCUCGAAAGGCAGAUAAUAGCCAUAUGCAAUAAGGGGGUAGGGCUUAACCUCAGAAGGUAGAGAAUAGCCUUAUGCAAAAAUGCAGACGGAGAUAGAGCUUAGUCUCGAAAGGCAGGUAAUAUCCUUAUGCAAUAUGGAGGUAGAUCUUAACCUCGAAAGGCAGAGAGUAGCCUUAUGCAAAAGUGCAAAUGGAGACAAUUCUUAGUCUCGAAUAUCAGAUAAUAGCCUUAUGCAGGAUGGAGGUAGAGCUUAACCUUGGAAGGUAGAGAAUAGCCUUAUGCAAAAUGCAGAUGGAGACAUGGCUUUGUCUCGAAAGGCAUAUAAUAGCCUUAUGCAGGAUGGAGGUAGAGCUUAACCUCUGAAGGCAUAGAAUAGCCUUAUGCAAAAUGCACAUGGAGACAAGGCUUAGUCUCGAAAGGCAGAUAGUAGCCUCAUGCAAUGCAGGAAUGUAAAAGAGCGAAUAGUAGUGAGUUUUCUUAGUUGGUGGUUGGUUUGCGGCAAAAGGACUGUUGGGGAGUUUGGAUAGUUACCCUAUAAGGGUUUCGAUUCUGAAGAGCAAAUGUGCUUUGAUCUCUAACCUGAAUUCCUGGAUCCAAAGAAAAAUCGUGAGUAUCAUAGAUGGGAGGUUAGUUCGUAUCCUCCAGCUCUUGGCAUUGUGCAUCAUGGGGUAGCGUUGCUAAAUGAUGGUGGUGCACGUUAUGUUUAUGCAUGACUUAGUAGAUAUAAUGCGAGUACGUAUAUAUGAAAAAUGAUUUUAUUUUUGGUGAACCGACAGUUUCAACGCGGUCCAAGACACGGCGACCUCGCUUGUUCUGGAAUUUUGAGGGUCCUCCUCAAAAUUCUGCCCCUCUCAAAAUUCUGCCCCAGUUUGCUGGGUCGGCGCUGAUGAAGAUACUGCCAAGCUGACUUCAUAAUUUUGAGGGUCCUCCUCAAAAUUCUACCCCAGUUCCAAUAGCGGGGGGGGGGGGGGGGGGAAAAAANNNNNNNNNNNNNNNNNNNNNNNNNNNNNNNNNNNNNNNNNNNNNNNNNNNNNNNNNNNNNNNNNNNNNNNNNNNNNNNNNNNNNNNNNNNNNNNNNNNNNNNNNNNNNNNNNNNNNNNNNNNNNNNNNNNNNNNNNNNNNNNNNNNNNNNNNNGGGGGGGGGGGGGGGAUGGAAAAAAAUGUGAUUGAACCCAUAGGGUUGCCUACGUAUACCCUCUUAAACAGGAAUCAGGUCAGGCGUAGUUCAAAUUACAUUAUGAAGAAAAAGCAUAUGAUCAAAUGUAGUGUCUUUUCACUGCAUCUGAGUUGAUAGGCUUCGACCGGACUUCUCCGUCCUUUUUUUCGAGAAUAAGGGCUCCGCCAGUUAGAACCCGAUGAACCAUGUACGGACCCUGCCAAUUGGGAGAGAAUUUCCCUUUGGCUUCAUCCUGAUGCGGAAAUAUCUUCUUCAAUACCAGCUAUCCUGGCGUGAACUUCCUUGGCUUGACUCACUUGUUAAAGGCUCUAGACAUUCUGUUAUGAUAUAAUUGACCAUGACAUACGACAUUCAUUCUCUUCCCGUCGAUGAGGGCUAACUGCUUGUAGCGACUUUUGACCCAUUCCACAUCAUCUAACUCUGCUUCUUGUAUGACCCUCAAGGAGAGAAUUUCUACCUCGGUGGGGGUGACUGCCUCUGUACCAUAGACCAUCAUGUUGGGAGUGGCCCCAGUUGAUGUGCGGACCAUGGUACGAUAACCUAAUAGCGAAUGACAACUUCUCAUGCCAUUGCUUGUGCUUUUCGAUCAUUUUCCUUAGUAUCUUCUUGAUGUUCUUAUUGGCUACUUCUACAACUCCAUUCAUUUGAGUUCUGUAAGCUGUAGAGUUCUUGUGUCUGAUCUUGAACGUUUCACACAUUGCUUUAAUCAGGUCGCUAUUGAGGUUAGAGCCGUUGUCGGUGAUGAUUGAUUCUGGAACCCCGAACUAACAAACCAUACGAUCUCGGACAAAAUCUGCUAUGACUUUCUUGUAUGAUGCGACCUCAACCCAUUUGGUAAAGUAAUCAAUUGCCACUAGGAUGAACCUAUGCCCAUUUGUUGCGGCUAGUGCGAUUGGUCCAAUAACAUCCAUUCCCCAAGCGGCGAACGGCCAUGUUGAGCUUGUUGCAGUAAGCUCGUUUGGAGGCACCUUUAUCAUAUCUGCAUGUAUUUGACAACGGUGGCAUUUUCGGACGUACUGGAUGCAAUCUGUCUCCAUAGUCAUUUAAAAGUACCCUGCUCGGAGUAUCUUCUUUGCCUAAACAAAACCAUAUGUGCAGUCCACAAGUCCCCGAAGUGUGAAAGAAAUUGUUGGACAAUCUCCGAAGUGUUCGUUUCUGAGUGAUAUUGGCAAGCUCUGGGUACCCUCCUGUUGUCAAAUAUUCGCUGAUAUCAUGGAACCAAGGUCUCCCGUCGGUUUCUUCCUCGACGUGAGCACAAUAGGCUGGCUGGUCGUGAAUCUUGGCCUGGAUGGUAACAAUAAAGUUUGUAUCUGGAUGCUGUAUCAUAGAUGAUAAAGUGGCUAAGGCAUCAACAAACUUAUUCUGUGUUCUGGGAACAUGGUGGAAUUCCAUCUUUCUGAAUCUUUUCCUUAACUCAUGUACAUGGUGUAGAUAGGGAAGUAUCUUAGAAUUCUUGGUAGUCCAUUCUCCUCGAACCUGAUGUAUGAGUAGGUCUGAAUCUUCGAUCACAAAUAGUUCUUGAAUAUUCAUGUCGAUGGCCAGCUUGAGCCCUAAGAUGCAGGCUUCGUAAUCGGCCAUAUUGUUGGUGCACGGGAGCUUGGCGGAUAUAUGGUAACGUUGACCAAUUUCUGAUACCAAAACCGCUCCUAUACCAACUCCUUUGAAAUUUGAGGCUCCGUCGAAAAACAUCCUCCAACCAUCAUAGGAUUCUGCAAUAUCCUCUCCUAUGAAGGCUAUCUCUUCAUCAGGAAAAUAUGCCUAUAGGGAUUCUUAUUCUCCUCCUACGGGAUUUUCGGAGAGGUGAUCUGCCCAGGCUUGUCCUUUGACCGCCUUCUAGGUAACAUAAAUGACAUCGAAUUCACUUAACAGUAUCUGCCACUUGGAGAGCUUACAAAUAGGCAUGGGCUUCUGAAAGAUAUAUUUCAAUGGGUCCAUCCUGGAUAUGAGAUGAGUGGUGUAAGUGCAGAAAUAGUGCCUUAACUUCUGUGCUACCAAGGUUAAAGCACAACAAGUGCGCUUUAAUAAGGAAUACCGAGCCUCGUAUGGGGUAAGCUUCUUGGUGUUGUAGUAGAUGACCUACUCCUUCCUUCAUGUUUCAUCAUGUUGUCCCAAAACACAACCAAAUUCCCCAUCCAAUAAUGCAAGAUAAAGCAGCAGAGGUCUCCAUAGCUCAGGCAGAACCAAGACUAGCGGCGUUGACAAAAAUUCCUUGAUUCUGUCGAAGGCCUUUUGACAAUCAUCAGUCCACUUAGUGGUUUGCAUCUUUCUUUAGCAUCUUGAGGAUGGGUUCACAAAUGACAGUGGACUGAGCUAUGAAUCGGCUGAUAUAGUUGAGCCUCCCCGAAAAACUCGUUACAUCUUUCUUGUUCUUUGGCGGUGGGAACUCUUGAUUGGAUUUGAACUUUGACGGGUCCAACUCUAUACCCGGCAACUCACAAUGAAACCUAAUAACUUUCCGGCUGGGACCCCGAAUGCACACUUGGCGGGGUUCAAUUUCAAGUUGUAUCACCUCAGUAUGUUGAAGAAUUUUCUCAAAUCUCCCAUGUAAUCUGCAGCUUUCCUGAAUUUUAUGAUGGCGUCGUCCACAUACACCUCAAUCUCUUUGGGUAUCAUAUAAUGAAAGAUUGUGGCCAUGGAUCUCAUGUAGGUAGCACCAGCAUUCUUCAAACCGAAUGGCAUUAUUCUGUAAUAGUACAUUCCCCAUGGCGUGAUGAACGUCAUUUUCUCUGCAUCUUCUUCAUCCAUCCAUAUUUGGUGCUAUCCAGCAAAACAAUCGACGAAGGACUAGAGCUCAUGUUUGCCACAAUUAUCAAUCACUGUGUGUACCCCGACCGGUGGUUUCGGGAUCCCGUAGAAAAUGCUUCUUUUAUGCCUUGGGUAUUAGAUACAGCUCGUAUUCAUUCAGUAAUUCUACCCCAUCUUCAUUCUUGGACCUCGUUUCUUAAUAUUGUUACUUUUCCAUGCUGUGUCUCAGGAACCUUUUCAAUUUGGUCUGGAUUGCUAGCUCUCGUUCAUAGUUUUGCUACAUAUGAUACACGAGGAAUCUUUUUAUGGCGGUUCUUCCUUCUAAUGACCGGCGUAUCUAUGAUUCUUUUCUCCCAACAUGCUGUGUCUCAGGAACCUUUUCAAUACGGUCUGGAUUGCUAGCUCACGUUCAUAUUUUUGCUACAUAUGAUACACGAGGAAUCUUUUUAUGGUGGUUCUUCCUUCUAAUGACCGGCAUAUCUAUGAUUCUUUUAACCCAGAUGAAGCAGCAGGCAUUGGUCCGUAGAACCUAUGAAAAGGAGAUGGUUGUGGUGUAGGGAGGUCAUCUUUAGGACUGGCCCGAUUGAGAACAUAGUAGUCGACACAUACUCUAACCUUUCCAUCCUUCUUUGGCACCGCACAACGAUUGGCUAACCAUGUUGGGUAUUCUACCACUCUGAGAACCCUGGCUUUGACUUGCUUGGUAAUUUCUUCUUUGAUUUUCGAACUCAUGUCUGGCUUGAAUUUUCUGAGUUUUUGUUUGACCGGUGGGCAUGUCGGAUCUGUUGGCAUCUUGUGAGCAACAAUGGACGUGCUGAGGCCGGUCAUAUCAUCAUGCGGCUAGGCGAAUAUAUCCUCAUAUUCUUUCAAAAACUCUGUGUAUUCUUCCUUUUCAGAAGGUGACAAGUGUACGCUGAUACAUGUUUCCUUGAGGUUUUCUACGUCUCCCAAAUUAAUAACCUUGGUUUUGUCUAACUUAGACUUAGGUCUGUUCUCAAAAUUCUCGACCUCUCAAAAAAACUCUUCUGGUAUUUCAUCCUCUUCUGAAUCUAUGUCCGUUUGUCGGAUUGUCUCGUUGCAAGUUACAAUCGGUUCAUCAUCAAGAUAUAUAAUGGUAAUGAUGUGCAAAAUAAAGUAAAUGAUAGAGAAAAUAAAUGAGAGCGACAUAUAAAGAUAAACUUGGAAAAUGCUUUUGAUUAAAUUUAUAAUUGUCUGAAACAUUGGAGCUCUUUUCAAAAGUAAAGAGAAUGCUGAAAAGUAAAAUCAACUAUAAGUAAAGUGCGAUGUAUAUGUGUCGUUUAGCCUUGCAACCCCGAGGGCUUACGGGAACUGGUGGUCCUAGUUGGCCAAUUGGUGAGGCAUUCUUCCGGUUCAUAGCUUGACUUGAAGGGCCUUCCUCCCCUUCCUCCUCGAAGGUAACACAACAAUCCAUAUCAUUCUCCAGAAAUAGGUUCUUCAUUGCUGCCAGCGUCUCAUCUUCCUCUGACCUAUAUAUGACAUUGGCGGGCUGAAAGGUCUGCUCUAACUAAGGUAGAGGCUUCUCCAGUGGGUAGUAGGGGCCGCUCCAUGGUGGCGGCCAGUGCUCGAACUCUUUCCAAGUGUAUUCAUAAUCAAGGACAAAAGUGGUUCCAUGCUUCUUCAAAUGGAUAUGUUUAGUGAUACCCUGGAGAUUCUUGCUAAGACCCUUUACGAGAUCGUAUCCGCUCCAAUUCAGAAUGCUCUCAAUUUUGUUAUCCCACCACUUGUCUUUGUCUAUGGCUUUGACUCGCUCAAUGUGAUAGUAUGUUUCCCCACCGAUCUUCCUUCUUCCUCCGAUCAUCGGGAUGGCCUGGCGACUAUAUAUGGGGUUGCUUCUGUAGCCAUAGAUGAUUACUUCCUGAUGAUUCUAUUCAAAUUUUAUAGCUUGAUGCAACAUUGAUGCCACAUCCCCAACAGCGUGGAUCCAAGGUCGUCCUAGAAACAAGAUGUAGGAUGUUGGCACGCAAAUAACGUGGAAAUCGACAUCGAACCAGAUGGGCACCAUCUGUAGGCAUAAUCUAAUUUCUCUGAUGGUGGACCUCUAAGAUCCAUCAAAAGCUUUGACACUGAUAGCCCCAUCUUUGAUCUCGUGCAGUCCUUUGCCCACUGUCCUGAGAGUCACCAACGGACAAAUGUUGAGGUUGGAUUCGCCUCUUGUUAUGUUGCUGGUAACAUAAGCUUCACUCAGUAUGUUCAUCAAGGCAAUUUUAUGUGCCUCAAAGCUUUGUAGGAGAGCUAUAAUAGAAAUCUGUGUCGGUGUCUCGUUCAGUUGCUCGACGACCGAGUACUCUUUGUCCUGUACCUUUCUCCAGGGGUCAUCAGGUCCAGUUUUAAUAGCAUGCCCGGAGGCCUACUUGCUAGAGUUAGCCAAAUGCUCUGGGGUGUAUACCCUGCCUGUCCUAGUCAUGCCCAGUGCAGGAAUUGCUUCCCUAGUAUAUGUCUUUCCCUUCCUUCUAGCCUCAAUGGUGUAAUCCCAAGGUAUAGGAUUUGUUUGGAAUGGAGUCACGUCUGUCAUGGAGACGGGAAUCGGUGCCCUGGGAGGCAGCAUAGUAACUUCAAAUGGUGUAGGUGCCUUCGGAACUCCGAACUCAACUUCAAUUGGUUUUGGCACCUUGCAGGAGGUGCUUCAAACUCGAGUGGUAUGGAUAUAUUCACCACGUCGCCCUCAGAAGGUUGAAUCUAGGCAACAAUGGGAUUGAGAGUAAUUGUUGUCUUCUUAGGCUCGUCUCCUUCAGCUAUUAAACUGAUUGACCCCUUGGGGUCCCAAUCAUCUUCGAUCUCAAUCAUGUGGAUGUCUCAUCCCUUGUGGUCAGGCAGAGGGUUAUUGCGAACAUUAGGAGUGGGCUCCUUUUCCAUAAUGAUCUUGUUGUCAAUCAUAUUCUGAAUCUUGUCUUUUAACGAGUGACACUCGUCAAUGGUAUGGCCCUUCAUCCCGGAAUGGUAUGCGCAAGUCUUGUUUGGGUUGAUCCAUUGGGAAGGGUUUUCUGGAGUUACGGCUGGGUAACGAGCGACACUUGUCAAUGGUAUAGCCCUUCAUCCCGGAAUGGUAUGCGCAAGUCUUGUUUGGGUUGAUCCAUUAGGAAGGGUUUUCUGGAGUUACGGCUGGGAUAAGGGUAACGUAACCUGCUGCCUUGAGUUUUUCAUAUAAUUGGUCAAUCGGCUCGGCUAUGACGGUGUAUUGUCUAGGAGGUUUACGGUCAAAGUUUGGUCUAGGUCGAGGGAAAUUUUGGCGCGUAGGCAGUGAUAGGUAGUGAGAAGGUUAGGAGUUAUAUGCUUGGUAUAUGGGUGGGGGUUGGGAAUAUCUGGGUGUAGUGGGUUGAUAUGUAGGUGGUGAAGGUGAUUGGUAAGCGGGUGGUGGAAUUUGGUAAGUGGGUGAUGGUGCAUGGUAAUUUAGGGUAGGCUGAUAUGUGAGUGGAGCUGAGGGAUAGGUCUUGUAUUUCAUGGGGGAGUUGUUCCUCUGCGCAACCAUUACAGAAUUCACAUCUUUUUUCUUUGAUGAGCCACCAGACUGCAAGGCCUUGUUGGUAGCUUGCAAUGCCUCGAUGUUAGUGACCAUACCAUUCUUUAUGCCUUCCUCAAUCCUUUCUCUCAAUUUGAUGAUGUCGGAGAACUUUUGACCCUAAAUUAACAUCAGUCUCUCAUAAUACUGUGGGUCUUGAGCAUGAAUAAAGAACCUAUUCAUUUGCUCUUCCUCCCAGGCCAGUCUGACCUUAGCAGCUUCGGACCUUCAACGAGUAGCAUACUCGUGAAAGGUCUCUGUGGGCUUCUUCUUGAGAUUAUGGAUAUAGAACACUCUGGGUGCGUUCUCAGUGUUGAACCUAAACUGAUUCAUAAAAUCAGACGCCAUGUUUACCCAACUGGUCCACUUCUUCGCAUCGUGGCUAAUAUACCAAGAUAAAGCAUCACCCUUCAAGCUCCUUAUGAACAGCUUCAUACGGAUCUUCUCAUCCCUUCCGACCCCUACUAACUUGUCACAAUACAUUCUCAAGUGAACCCUGGGAUCACUUGUGCCAUCGAACAUUUUGAACUAGGGAGGUUUGUACACCUCCGAGAGCUCACAUUUGGUUGAACAUAUAGAUCUUCGUAAUUCAACCAUUCGACACCUUUGUUACCUUCGAAACCUUUGACCCGGCUAGUCAACUUCUUGAUCUCAACGGCCAAAUUAUGAAUGAGGGAACUCUUGUACUCUGUCUCAAUCGCACUGGAUAUAUGCUGACUGUAGUGCGGCAUAGUGUCCACAAAGAUCGGGAUAUUAUGGUCUUUUGUGGUGUUUUGUGGUUCAUGAGUGUUAUGAGUGGGUUGAAUUGGAGGUUGUGGGAUGUUUUACGGUGGUGCGGGGUUCUUGGUGUUAAAAUGGGGUGCGGAAAGAGUUAUUGACAGGCUUGACAGGUUUCUAACUUGGUCCAAUUCCUCUCGAAACCUCAACAAAGUUUUCUCUAGAUGAGCAGCAGUUUCUUUGGUGAUUGCAGCAUUUUGAGAAGCUUCUUCAAGUUUCUUCCUAGCGUUUGUAUCUCCCAUUUUGCCUUUGUUCCUGUUUCUGGUAGGACUGAGAGGAGGAGGAGGUGGAGGACCCUUUGAUCUUGUGGAGUAUGGUGCCAGAACGUACGAACUAACCUUUGGGGGGGGGGGGGAAUAAAAAAAAAGAAAAAAAAAGNNNNNNNNNNNNNNNNNNNNNNNNNNNNNNNNNNNNNNNNNNNNNNNNNNNNNNNNNNNNNNNNNNNNNNNNNNNNNNNNNNNAAAAGAUAAAAAAAGGUAGAAAGUUAAUGCAGGUUCUGAUAAACAAUACUACAAUAUUUAAACACAUUAUGUGGGAAUAUAAAUCGCUUCUUAUUUUGGGUGCCUCAUUGUGCUCGAGGUAGGCCUAGCGACAAAUAAAAUUUGGAGAACUUAUAAUGCUAAAUGCCUCAUUUUAUUGAUGAAAACAAAACGAAUCUAAACAACUAAAUGAUAAAGACAUUACUAAUGGCAAGUGGCCUUAUUACAUGAAGAAGAAUAAAAAUCCUAACUACUUGGUCCCAGAAGGAACUUCCCCAUAUUCGGUAUUCUUGCCUCCAUCUUAUAGCUGCAUCAACUCGUGCAUCCCUAACAGUAGGUAGGCUCAAGCCAAAUUUCCACCCGCGCUUCCUUCAGAAUUUUGGCAGUCUUCAAUCCUUUUUAAGAACUUCCCUUCCAACUCCACUAGACCUCGCUGCAGGUACCCCAAACGGUUGUUGGUGUUGACAACCAUAUCCUUCCAUUUGUUGAUUAGCUUCUCGUGGGCUUCCUGUAUUUCCCAAUGUUCGUUUUCACAUUCUCUCAUCCUCUUGCGCAGUGGAUUGUAUUUGACUUGUGCUUCAGUUUUCUAGUCAAUAAUCCUGUGACCGUGGACGAAUCCUGGAUGACCCAAACCAAUGUGAUCGUCUUCCAACCAACCUGUGUAGUGCGGUACACACCCGUCAUGAUACCUGUCUGGCUCAAUAGACUCCUUCCUUAGAACAAGCUUGCAGUGCCACAUAUGCUGAGCGUGACACCUAUGCGAGCUAUCAUUAUUUUGAAAGUCAGCCCUGAAAUGACUCAUUUUCUCUAUCCUGGGUAUGAUUUGUUUGCUUUCGGCUUGCCUCAUGACUCAGAGGGGGACGUAAGGAUGAGUUACCCUCAGGCCAAUGAGUAUGAGGAAUGGUGGGUCUCGAUAAUGGAUAAUGAACUCCCCUGUUGGGAACCACUCGAACAUCCACUGAAUUUGCUCUUCUUUUAGAUUCUCGAACAACUCUACCCAUCCACUAACAUCCUCUGGCUGAGCAAACACAUUGGGCAUGAAGUUCAUUCGCUUUGGAUGAUGAAAAGCGAUAUGGCCAUCCCAAUCCUUGCAUAUGAUUUCAUGUCUGUAGACACCUUUCUGAAGGUGUCUUAGGAGCCAUAGUCGAAGUACCAGAUUACAAUCCUCGAAAUGUGGAGCCCCUUUUUGACACUUUCCCAAGGCUCGAUAUAUUUCAGCGAGGAUCAUAGGUAUUACGCUGAAGGAUUGGCCGUCGAUCCCUUCCAUCAAAGUCUUGGUUACCAUGGCUAGUGUGGUAUGGAUCCUAGACUUCUUCAUAGGGCAAAUUACCAUGCCCAAGAAGCAAAACAUGAACACAAACACCCUUCUGUGAAUAUACCCCAAAGAGGUGAGGGAAAAUUUGUCCAUGUAGGUGCGAUAGGACUUAUUGUGGCCAUAUCUCUCGUGUAAGAAGUCGAAUGGUAUGUAAGAGUCCUUCAAGUUAGAAAGGUCGGGGUUUUCUUAAGUCCCAUCAUUUUAAGGAAACCUCUACUUUUGCGAUUCUCCGGCAUGAGUAAACCCGGCAUUUCCCAAAAGAUGCAAGCUAGGCCCCUUAUUCCUUCUAGAAGGGGGUCAUUUCCAAAUCUCGAAAAUGGAACACUGAUUGAUCACCAUUCCAAAACAUAGUGGCAACCUUAAUGAUUUUGUUAUUGGGUUGGAUUUCCAGCAGUGAUGGCAUCCCUAAGUACAUACGGAUGAGGGUUCGAUCACUGCUAUGAAGAUCUUCCCACCAGCUCAGCAACCUUGGGUGGAUGUUAAAUACCAUACCGAAUCUAGGGACCUCGUGCCUCAUUUUCUGCAAAACAGAAUGUUAGGCCCUUAACCCCACCAGACUCGACUAUUUAAAUCAAUAAUUAGCAAACGGCAUUUAGUUCUCCAAAUUAAUGCACAUAACGUGAAUGUGUACAUUUGGGUUUCAGGAAACCCGAUGGACUUUGGUUUAGGCUAUCUUAAUGAGUCAAUAUGCGGGACAACAUAAUUGACUCAGCAAGGGUUGACCAUGAUGCAUGAACAAUUUAAAGGAAUAAGGUUUCUAUUUUUGAAGUGCUAGAUAAGGUACCCUUGAGCGGGCAACUCAAGACAGAAAGGCGCCGAACCAUCGACAACACUAUUGAUCGACUGGUUUUAACUCAAAUAUGCCUUUGCCACAUUUAGGGGGUUUUUGAUAUUGGAAGCGCACAACCACUCAUUAUAAGCGUUGCAAUAGAAUUUGCUUUGGCACGAGUGGAAUAUGAUGUUGAGAGAUGCAAUUAUAAUAAUGAAAAAAAUUACAUGUAUUUUCAUGUUCAUAAGAUAAAUAAUUACAAUGAUUGCUCGAAAUUACAACAUUAUUGAAAUAGUAAAGCAGUAAAGAAAGCGGUUAGAGGAAAGAAAAGGCAUGAAGAGCCAAGUUAGUAGUUGUGAUGGAAUAAUCAAAACAGGAAAUAAAUGCGAUUAAAUAAGCAAUAAAGUCACAAAAGCAAGUAAUGGUAAAAUCCUAAAGGAAAUCCCCAGCAAAGUCGCCAUGCUGUCGACGCCCCCCUUUUUCCCUAAAAGCGAAAUCAGGUUUACAACAUUAUGAGCAAAACAACUCUUAUCCACUUUUAGGAAUUAGGCUAUGGAGUUUGAAGAGUCACCACCUAAUGAUUAUAGUGCAUUAUGACACUUUAAGAAGAAAGGAAGAUUUUUGAAAGAAAACCUGAGUUCGGGUAAGGGCUUGAAAUUAUCUCGAGGGGAAGGUGUUAGGAACCCCUCAAGAUCCACUAGUGUGGUUCCCGGCCUUUCUCAGAUGUGACUUUAAGAAACAUAGAAAUAGACAAGAUUAGUUUGCACAUAAAGAAUACGAGCAAGUUGACAAUUUUGAAAGGAGGAUAGUACAAGUAAAAGGGAAUUUUAGAGAAAACAUUUAAACAAAGAAAAAGUAAGGGGGGUCCUAGGUUUAGCUAUACUAUAGAUCAUUUGAUGCAAUAUCCAGCACAUAUUCCCAAAGAGGGGUCGCUUCAUGAUAUUAGCGCAUCGUCAUCAUCUCCAUAUUCUACCCUUCCCACCCCGUUAAGGUAUUUAAGCGCAUUUAGUCUUGUUUACUUAUUACAUGAUAUACCCGUCCCGACCUAUUAGUCUCGGGGUAUUUGGACUUCUAAUCCUAAAAAGGGGAGAAAGGGGAUGAGGGCAUAUAUGGAUUUUAAAGAUAAAAAUGCUAAGGCGUCAAUCAAAACAAAUAGCACAUAAAGGGAGUAAACAAACAUACAAAGGCUACACAUAAACCCCUUAAACCAUACAACAAUUAGUUUAGCAUGACUUGCAAAUACUAAUUUGGUCUUAAGCUUAAAACUAAUAAUGGAUAGAUUAGUUUAACACAUAAAGUUGGAUAAUAAGUCUACUUUAAGCCCCUCGGGUCCGGUUUGUUAGAACUUAAGGUAUUUUAAAAUUAGUAAUUUCAGAAAGCGUUAAUUUUAGACAAAAAUCUAUAAAGAAGAAUUUUGAAAACAAGAAUUUGAAGUCUGCAAAAGUCCAUAAAUGGCUUACAAAACAAGCCGAACUGCUUAAGUAAAAUGGUACAAGAAAAAGUUUUCAAAAAAGCAUUGAAGUGUAAAUUUAGGCAGAAGACCAAAAAACUUUGACUUCAGAAUAAAAUGCAGAUUUGGAAUUUUAAAAGACUCUAUGGAUUUAAAAUGGUGUAAAAAAGACUUGGCCAGAUUUCAAAAAUGAGAAGCUUUGGGCAAAUUUUAUUGAAAGUGUUUAACAAAUUAGGCGAGUUUGAACCGUAUAGGCAUGACAUCUACAUUUUUAUUGUUGCUGCUUUUAGAACGUUUAAGGGACCUAUUGUUUGCCUAGCGUUUUUAUGCAGUUCCUACAUACAUGAUUCUAUUAUGCUUGUAAUAAAAAUCCUAUUGGCUUGAUUUUUAAAUGGGAUGCAACAUUGAAAUUUUAUAGGCAUGGUUUCUAGAUGAUUAGCAAUAUUAAAAUCCUAUAGGCAUGGUUUCUAAGUAAUUGAAAUUCUAUAGGCAUGAUUUCCAGAUGAUUGGAAACAAUAUAAACCCAUCCCACACCCUUUCCACUAUAUCCACAAAUUCUUUUACAAAGCUGGUUACAAAAGUGGAAAGAAAAGACUAAGAAAGUAAAUACAUCAAAGCUAAAACGGUCCCGAGGAAGCCCAAAGCAACCUUAAUGUCCAACAUAUGUAAUAGAAGUUGGAAAUCUCAAGGUUCAAAGCUAAAACGGACCCGAGGAAGCCCAAAGCAACCUUAAUGUCCAACACAUGUAUUAUACCAAAUCCAGGCUCCAGAUUCUAAGGCUUUCUCUUAUGGUGUUUCAAAGUUCCAAGGGUUUUCAGGAAGCCUAGGCAACGCUUACACCCUAAAAAAUGAUUAGAGUAGUGCAAGGUGUAGAAUUACCACCCCUUAGGCAUCCAAGUUCAGAGGGAACUCUAGGGUCCCUAAGCAUUGCUUAACAUAGGGGGAUAGGACUUAAAGAAUUAAGAGUAAGUGUAAAAGUGAGGGAUUAGAGGAAGACCAAAGCAAUGGGUGGUCAUACCUAGCGAUGAAUGGGACUGGCACACCCCUGACCCUUUACAUAGCUUGAAAAAAUAAGAGCGGACUUAAGAAAGUCAGACUUAGGCCUGUAUGGUGAUUAGGACACCACUAAACCUGAGUCAAGCUCAACACAUAAUAGGGGUUAAAGGGGAUGGGGACUGAUUUGAGUAUAGGUUUAGAGCAACCUGGUUCUAAACUAGGGGUGGCAAUGGAGUGCCACCCUAGUCUAAAAAAAUACUCACACACAAAGGGGAAUUAAAGGAAAGGGAUAUUACAUGAAAGCAUUUAUAGCAAACAGAAUUAAACUAAGGGGACUUGGGGAAGGGAUUUACAGGAAGGUACUCAUACAAGCAUACAACAUCAAAACAUAGGGAUAUGGGGUAGGGAUGUGCAUGCUGAACUUUAAUUACAUAAUGAACAUAAACAGACGCAUGAAAAAGGGUAAGUAAACAUGCAGUUUUGGAGAUGGUAUUUAAAUCAUGGACCUACAAAUUGCAAACUCGAAUAGUAAAGCAUGCAGGGUAGAUAGAAACAUAUAGUUUAGCCUUGGCUUUCAGCCGGCUAAACUCAAGCAGCGGAUCAAAUGGCAGAAAAGAGCAUAGAUGAGAAGAGUGAUUGGGGUGUGAACUUGUGAUUGUUUGUAUGUUUGAAGUAAAAGGGAUGGGGUUUUUUGUAGUUUGAAAGUAAGUUGUAAAUAAGUCAAGAAAAUAACUUAGUAUCAAUCACAAUCAAUUAGGGAAAGGAUUCUCUUUAAUUAAGGACCAGACUUAAGGUAAAUAAACGGAGUUCUAUUUUUGGGAAGAAAAUCAAGAAUGAGUUGUAAAAUAAAGGGUAAAUACAUAUAAGGUUUUUGAAAUACACACGGUUUAAGCAAAUAAGGUAAAUAAAAUCAUCAAUCACAUAGGGAAUCAAGGAAACUGGUAUUCGUAUACAGUCCAAGAAUAAGUCUAAGUUGGAAAAUCAAAUAUGUUCAUAAAAAUCAACCCCAAAAUUAGGGUUAUUAAAGGGGAAAAUAUGACUAUAAAGAGAUGCAAAAAUUCUGAAAUUAAUAGAACAAUCAUGUAAUCAGAGAGCGGAAGAACAAAGGCAUGAAACAUAUUAGAAAAUGCAAGGCUGAAAUUAAUAGAAUAGUCAUGAAAUCAGAGAGUGGAAGAAUAGAGGCAUCAAACAGAUUAGAAGUUUUUGCAGAGCUUAGCAAGAAAUCAGAAGCAUGAAAGGGACUCAAACAGUUAGGGUUUCAGAAUCAAAUAUGCAGCAUACAAUCACACACCCAAACUCGAAAACCCCGAAGUCUAGGGUUUCCUCACAUUUCAAAAAUGUAAAGAAGAAAGUAAAAAUACUAAGGUAGACAAACUCGGAAAGAACGCAAAUACUCGCGAAAAGCAAAGUAUAGUACAGAGUCACUAGAAAACCCUAGGUAAAGGGAGAAUUACAUGGAGUUAUGGAUAAAACAUUCGCAAGUCACAACAAAAAUAAAGAAAUCAUAGUAGAGCAGUUAAGAGGAAGGAAAUUACGGAAACCUUAGUUUUAGGAAGAUAAACAGUUUGAAAAUAAAAUUGGUAAAAAAAUGUGGAAAACACUUUGAAACUUUAGAAAAUAAUGUAGAUCUGAAGUAGAUCGUGAAGAAAAACAAAGAAGUAAACCUUGGAGACUUAGGGUUUCAAAGAAAACCAUAAAGAAUGAGAAAGCCUGGAACGGACUGAUUUCGAGUUGACAACGGACUCAUAACACCAAGAUUAGCCGGAGAGAGACCGGACAUGGGCGUUGAACUCAAGUCGGAGGACAUAUGAGCCGGUAAUCUUCGAGAUAGGGAUUUGAUCUUUGAACAAAGGGGUAAUAGAAGGGGGUGAAGGGUGAGUACAGGUUGCAUAAAGCCUGGAAAGCCAUGUUUUCCGGUGAAACGAGAUCGGAAAGGGGUCUAAGGAGGGAUAGGGUUUUAGGGGUUUUGAGAGCAUUUUGGGGACGAGGGGGAUAUAAAAUGAUUAGGGUUAGGGGUGUAUUUGGUUUAAUUAAGGGAAGGGGCUACGUGGACCAUUGAUCUAAAUGAUCAACGGUCCUGAUUAAAAAGGGGUUCCGGGCGGACUGGUUUAAUUGGGUCUGGGUCUGGUUAUUUAUAAAAUUGGUUAGUGUAAUUGUGGGUUGAAAUUAGGGCUAUAAUUUAAAUAAAGAGGACCAUAAUUUAAAUAGCAAAUUUUCUUUAAUUUUGAAUUUUAUAAAAUAGUAAAUGAUGUUUAAAAAUCAAAUUAGAAAAUUCUGAGUUAAUAAAAAAUGCAUAAGUAUUAAUUUGAAAAUAUUAGAAAUUAUUUUAUGAUUAAAAAUGCUAUUAAAUCGAGAAAUGGGCUAAAAUUGUAAUUUCAUACAAUUUUAGUUUAGAAAUACCAAAUGAACUUGUAAAAUUGUGUAAAAAUUAUAUAAAUUAUUUUUUGAUGAAUGAGAGAAUAAAAUAAAUUAUUCACCAAAAUAAUAAAUUGUGGGAAUAAUUAUUGGAUUUUAUAGUGCAAAAAUAAGCCAUAAAUUGAUUUAAAAAUUCUUUAAAAUGUGGAAAAAUACCAAAAAUUUGUGGAUGCUUAUAUAUGCUAUUUUUGAGAAUAUUUUGAGUAUAAGAAUAUAUAGAAAAAAAUUGGGUAUCAACAGCGUGGAGAGGACUCUCUUGAUGUGCCAUUUCUCGAAGAAUUCAGUCGUUUUUUGACCGAUGAACUAUCGUCCCUUUUUGCAAAUGAUUUCUCUAGGGAUUCACAAGCCGCAUAUAAUGUUCUUACAUAUGAAGGUGAUGAACUCCUAUUCGCGUAUUUGUGCGUACGCACCUGCUUCCACCCACUUGGAAAAAUAGUCAGUCAAAAACAAGCAAAAAUCGUACCUUUCUCGGUCCUACGGUAGGGGCCGACUAUGUCCAAUAUACAUUUGAUGAAGGUAUUGGGAGAGGUGACCGAGUGUAGGGGUUCCCCUGGAUGGUGGAUCAUUGGGGCAUAAUUUUGGCAUUUUUCGCAUCCGCGGAUGUAUUAUGCUGCUUUUUUUUUCAUGGUGGGCCAGUAGUAGCCGACGCGAAUGAUGCACCGCACAAGCGUAGUUGCCUGUAUGGGCGUCACAGUGACCCUCGUGUACUUUUUCAACAAAUGGCCUCGUUUGGUGUGGGCCUAGGCACUUGUCCAAGGGUCCGCCAAAUGUUCUCUUGUAGAGGUCGUUGUUGAUCAGGCAGUACCAGGCGGCUUGCAUGCGUAGUUUCUUUGCCUCUUUCUUAUCGCGCGGCAGUGUUCCGUUCUGUAUAUAGGAUAUGAACUGGUUGCACCAAUCCCAGGUUAGAUUUAAUGAAGAUACCUCAGUAUGAUCGAUGGCUGAACUGAGGAGGUGACAACACUUUCCUUGUUGAUGUUUUUGGUGGCCGCGACUAAUUUUAUUAGGUCGUCCGCUUCAAUGUUUUGUGCUCUCGAAAUUUGUUUGAAGUGGCACUCGUCGAACUCAACCAUUAGCCUCCUGAUUUAUGUUUGGUACUUUUGUAGCCUUUAUUCUUUGAUCUGGUAAGUCCCAGCAACCUGGUUUACCACGAGCUAUGAAUCGCAAUGGAGAAGGAUCCGCAGGGCUCCUUACUUGAUUGGUAAUUUCAUACCUACAAUAACGGCCUCAUACUCGGCCUUUUUGUUAGUCAUUUUGGGGCAUCGUAUGGACUGGCAAAUUGUUUCGCCCAUGAGGACCUCGAGGAUGAGUCCCAAUCCCGAUCCCGAUGCAUUGGCGGCACCAUUGGUGUGUGAAGGCCUAUAGGUUAUUGCUGGAGGAGGCGUGUUGGGCCUCUAGCUCCGCCUUCGAUAGGAUUUCGGCACUGAAGUCGGCUAUGAAGUCAGCUAGGACUUGAGACUUGAUGGCAUUUCUCGGAAGGUACGAGAUAUCGUGCUCGCUGAGCUCAAUGGACCAUUUUGCAAUCGGCCUAAUAGCUCAAGCAUAUGUAAGACACUCCUCAGCGGGAAGAUAGUUAACAUUCUUAUGGGAUAGCAUUGAAAAUAAGGUUGUAGCUUUCGUGAAGCUACAACUAGUGCUUGUGCCAGCUUUUCAAGGUACGGGUACCGAGUUUCGGCGUUCACUAGUGUUCUGCUAAUGCAUUAUAUGGGAGAUUACAUACCUUUAUUCUCGCGUACUAGGAGAGCACUGACGGCGACCUCAAACACGGCUAGAUACACCAGAAGUGGUUCACCUGGUCUCGCUUUGGCUAGUAGGGGCGGCAGGGAUAGGUACACCUUCAGAUUUUUGAGGGCUUUAACGCAUUCUUCAUUCCACAGAAACCCCGGAUCUUUCUUUAGCACACUGAAGAACUUAUGGCACCUGUCAGAGAAUCGCGAGAUGAACCUGGAAAUGGCGGCUACCUGACCCGUCAGCUUCUGCACCUGUUUUUUACUGCUUAGCACUUCUAGGAUUGUGUCUAUUGCUUUGAUCUGAUCUGGAUUGACUUCGAUACCCCUCUGAGAUACGAGGAAUCCCAAGAACUUUUCCGAGGCCACGCCGAAGGCACAUUUUUCGGGAUUCAGUUUCAUCCCGUAUCUUCUUAAUAUUUCGAAGGCCACCUUCAGAUGGUCGAGGUGAUCCUCCUUUCUGGACGACUUUACCAGCAUGUCGUCGAUGUUGACUCCGAGGAGAAGAUGCAUUUUCGGGAUUCACUUUUAUCCCAUAUAUUCUCAAUAUUUGGAGGCCUCCUUCAGAUGGUCGAGGUGGUCCUCCUUUCUAGACGACUUUACCAGCAUGUGAUCGAUAUAGAGUUCCAUUAUUUUGCCAAGUUGUUCUUUGAACAUCUCCGUCACUAACCUCUGGUACGUGGCUCCCGCGUUUUUUAGUCUGAAGGGAAUCACUUUGUAGCAGUAUGUCCCUUGGUGAGUGAUGAAUGUCAUCUUCUCCUGAUCUUCUACGGCCAUCAUGAUUUGAUUGUAGCCGGAAUAUGCGUCCAGGAAACACAAUACUUCAUGCCCGGCCAUCGCGUCUAUCAGCUAGUUGAUGUGGGGAAGUGGGAACGAAUCUUUCGGGCAUGCUUUAUUUAGGUCGGUGAAAUCCAGGCACAUUCGCCACUUCCCAUUUUUCUUCUUAACCAUGACGACGUUGGCGACCCACUCAGGGUACUUGGAUUCUCUGAUGGAACCAUUUGUUCAUAGUUUGUCUGCUUCUUCACUCACAUCUUCGUUGAUGGUGGUAUUGAAUUUUCUCCUCAUUUGCCUCAUGGGCGAGUGUAGCGGAUCAACGUUCAAUUUGUGGGUAGCGAUGUCCCACGGUAUCCCUGGCAUAUCUGAAUGAGAAAAGGCGAACAAGUCUACAUGGUUAGAUAAGAAUUCACAAUACUUACUUGGGUUUGAAAGGCCAUGCCCGAUAUAGGCCCUCUUCGUGAGAUCGAUAUUUUCUAGCUGCACGGGGUCGAGGUCCUCGACCGUGGCUUUGCUGGCUUCUAUGAUAUCUGGGUCUUUGAUGGCGUCCUCUGCUGGGUGAACCUUAGUCCCCAACAGAGUUGAUUGCUAUGCUUCUGCGCUUACCCCUUGGAGUUGUUUGGUAUGGGUAUAGUCUUGAGCUAUUUUGUAUCAUUCAGGCAGUGUGGGGUUUGCCUCGUAUGCUGAACACCCCUCAAGGGGUGGAAAAUUUGAUCACCUGAUAAAAGCUGGAGGGGACCGCUCUCAUGGAAUGUAUCCAUGGUCAUCGAAUGAUGGCAUUGUACGCUGUCUCCUGGUUCAUCACGUGAAAAGUGGUUUCCAGUGUAACUCCUCCCGCCAGGACAGUAGUGUUAUUUCUCCGGAAGUUCUUUCUACUGCAUUGUCAAAACCAGUCACUGUUAUGUAGCGAGGUACUAUCUUUUCCUCGAGUCCCAUAAGUGCAAGGACUCUCGGGUGGAUAAUACAAGCGCCGCUACCGUCGUCAAUCAUAAUUCUCUUAACAUCUGUAUCCAUAAUGCGUAAAGUAAAAACCAAAGCGUGGUAAUGAGGAAAAUACAAACCGUGGGCAUCAGACUUAUUGAAGGUGAUACUAUCCGCCGCUAUCGCCGUCAAUCAUAAUUCUCUUAACAUCUGUAUCCAUAAUUCGCAAAGUAAUAACCAAGGUGUGGUAAUGAGGAAAAAGACAAACCAUCAGCAUCAGACUUAUCGAAGGUGAUACUAUCAUCGAAGUCGUCAUAUUGUUCGUGGGUGAUAGUUUGCUUUAGCUUGUGAGUAGUGGUGAAUCUGACGUAAUUGAUCAUCGAGUCGUUGCCGUACCAGAUGAUCAUAUUGAUCGUGCGUGUUGGCGAGGGCGGCCUUGGUGGUCCGUUGGGUUGAUCCCGCCCUCGUUCAAAGUUGAGUUUCCCUUUAUCGCUGAGCAAUUCUCUCAGGAACCCUUAGUUCAGCAUCCUGUCCACUUCCUGCCAUAGGCCUAUGCAAUCUUCGGUCUUACGCCCUCGCUCCUGGUGGAACUCACGAAGGGCAUUUAAUUAUCGGGUGGUAUCUCUCCCUUGCCAGGACUUGCUAUUGAUUUAGUCUCCCUUGCCGGGAUAUUCUUGGACUGUUAGUUGUACCCUUACCGGGUUUAACUGUUAAGUUGACGAACUUCCCUAAUGGGGCCACCUUUGAGGAGAUUGUUGGAGUUAAUCAAUAAUACAUCAUGGGAUCGUGUGGUACGCCGUCCACUUAUAUAAUACAUCAUGGUAUCGUCUGGCAUGCCGUCAACUUAUUUAAUACAUCAUGGAAUCGUGUGGUACGCCGUCCACUUAUUGUUAUUGGCCUGAGAUGCCGCGGGAUCAUGUGGCGUGCCGUCCACUUAUACAUUACAUUCUUUCGCAGAUUGCGAUAACACGUGCGUCUUCUUCUUCUGCACAGCAGCCCGAGCCCCCAGCAGCAUCUCCCCCGAGGGGCAGGGGCUGAGGCCGGGCCAGAGGCCGUGGCAGGGGCAUAGCUCAGCCCCAUGCAGCAGUUACAGAGGUGGAGCCUCAUGUUGACUUUGAUGAGGAGGUUCCAGCUCCACCAGCUCUAGUGGGCCCAGCUCAUGUCCUAGGAGGAGUGAUGUUUUCUUCGUAUCUUCAGGAUGCUCUUGUCCUCAUAGCAAGAUUUAUGGACAGUGUUGCUAGAGCGGGAUUGCUGCCAGUAGCACCAGCUACUUCUCAGGCUGGAGGAGGGUUUCAGAAUCCUGCUACACGUACCCUGGAGCAGGUAGCUCCCCAAACUAAGGUUCCAUUGGUUCAGUCUGUAGUGGAAGCUCAGGUAGGUACUACAGCUCAGGCCGGAGAUGGGACGGCCAUGUCUUCGGAUGCUGAGGGGUUCAGAAUCCUUCUACACGUACUCUGGAGCAGGUGGCUCCCCAGACUCAGGUUCCAUUGGUUCAGCCCACAGUGGCAGCUCAGACAGGAAUUACAGCUCAGGCCGAAGAUGGGACGGCCAUGUCUUCGGAUGCUUUGUGGAGGCUUGGUUGGUUCUCCAAGCUUUUCACUACUACCUUCAGCGGUGCUUCAUCGGAGGAUCCCCGGGACUUUCCAUACAGUUGUCAUAAGAUCCUCAGGAGUAUGGGGAUAGUGGAUACCAAUGGGGUCAAUUUUUGCACAUUCAGGUUGUUAACAAAAUUAAUUCUGAAAAAUAUCGAAAUACCAAAUUUUAGAAUUUAAUAUCGAGGACCGUACCGAAAUAUUGAAAUUGCAAUACUGAAUUAGAUCGAAAUAUUGGAAAAAAUCGAAAUCGAAAUACCGAAUUAAUUCAGUCUGGUUCAAAAUUCGAUUUUUCGGAUCUUAUGCCCAUCCUAAUAAGUACCAGCAUUAUUAAUGUAUUUUAACUUGUUAUAAUAAGUAAUACGUCUUAUUUUCAGAUUACAAAUAUUACUUCUUAUGAAUUAUGUGUUUUUUUAUAUUUCAGAUUACAUGUAUUAUUUGUUAUAUAUAUGAACAAUUAUGUGUUGUUAUCUUUUAAGUGAUGUAAUAAUUUUUUUAAUAUUAUCAUUGUAUUAGAAGUUAAUUAAACUUGUUAACCAUUAAUUAAUCAAUAGAAUCUUAAUGUGCAGUGGGAUAUAGGAGAAAAUGACAGCUUAACCAUACUUAUCCUCCAAAAAGUGUUUCUUGAUAUUUCGAGUCCUAUAAUUACCUCCCCUAAGAAGAAACAGGAAUAGUGAACUUAUUUUCCUUUUAUGGUGCUACUAACAAUUUUUUAUUGAUAAUAAUGAUAUACGUGAUUGACGGCGAAAUAAAUAAAGAACCAAAAUAGUUAACUGAUUAAAAAGGAAAAACACUUCCAUGCCUGAUGAAAAUGACACGUUUCACGUUAAAUGUCCAUCAUUUUUAACCAUCAGAUUCGACCUUAAUUUUUUUUUUAGGAGUUUGAAAACUAGAUAUAAUUUAGACAUAAUUACAUUUAAGCUACAAAUAAAUAAAUAAAUAUAAAACAUUUUACUAUCAAAAUUGACGUAGGACAGUUACGUACUCUACUUCAUUCUGUUUUCUUGCAAUGCUUCUAUUCAAACGCUAGUGUAAGGGGAAAAGACACUAUUUGUGUGCCUACCAAAUUUACUUCCUAAUACGUAAGAUAUUAGUAUAAAUUUUGUUUCCAAUUAAGGAUAGAGAUAGCCUGUUUAAUUUGCCGAGCUUUUAAAAUUAAUAUAUUUUGAAAAGUGAUUUUUUAAGAGUAUUUAUUUAGAAAAGGUAUUUUAUUUGGAUAUACUUAGCUAGCGUUUGGUCAUAUUUUCAAAAUUUAUUUUGAAAAAUCUGAUUUGGGUGAAGUUUGGUUUGAAGAUGAAAAUGUGUUUGGACAUCAGUUUUCAAAAUAUAUUUUGAAAAAAUAUGAAACAUGACUUAUAUCCACAAGUUCGAAAAGUUAUCACAAAUACCCAUCAGUACAAUUAUUAAUAACAUUCAUUAUAUUAUAGCAAAACAUAGUCUUGAACCUAAAUAAAUUUGGUAAAAAUUAUCAUUUUUAUAAUAAACUACAUGAUACACUAUCAGAUGACCGAGAAGACGAAGCAAACAUUAUUACAAAAUAAUAAAUAGUGGAGUGGACUCUUGAUAAAAUACAAAAGUUUAGGGGAAUUUUUAGAAAAAUCUAAUAGAGAUAUUUUGGCCCAACACUAGCUAUUGAGCUGAUUAGGCAAGAUCUAUGGCUAAAUAUGUGUUUGCCAAAUAAAAUCCAAAGUUAUUUUGGUAAAAUUAUGGCCAAACGAGUCCUUAGUAUUUGAUCAAGCUUUUUAAAAGUAUUUUUUUCUUAAAAACAUUUAUUAAAAAAAUAUUUUAAGGAAAAAUUGGUUCUUUUUUCUAGUUAUAAAAAAUUAUUUCUAUACAAAAAUAUUUUUUUACCUUCUAAAAAUUUAGUCAAACAUUUUAAUUUUAGAAAAAAAAUAUUUGUGACAAAAAGAAAGUAGUAUAGUAAUAUUUAGCCAAACAGACUACUAGAAGGAUUCAUAUUGGGGUCAUUCUAGAAAGCCACCACGUAUAAGUUAUUUUCUACACAGCACCCAACGGUACAGUCGGUAUAAAUUCAAAUCAAAUAAUGGAAAUUCUUGACGAACUUUAACGUUCUCCUUGGAAAAAUUGUAUAUUUGGUUCCCUACAUUAAAGGGAUUAAAUUAGGACUCUACUAUGUACCAAACACAAAAACAGGUUUUGUCAUAUGAAAGAAGAUAUACUCAAACCUUAAAGCAGUGUUUAUCUUUUGUUUUUGUCCAGUUUGGAGACACAAAAGUUAAGGUAAAACACACAUCCCAACUUUUCUUGUCUGUAAUCAACUGUUUUGAAGUACUGUUUCUGUCUUGUGUCUGUGAGUUCUUUACUACUUUUAACUUUACCAAUUUUCACUAUUUUUCAAUAGUGUUUUUUUUUACUUCAUAAAUCUUUAUGUACCAAUUUGUGUAUUGAAAGAUGAGUUCUUUUCAUGCCUUUUGAACUUUUCCAUGAUGGGUCUUCAGUAUUUGACCGUCUUGCUUUUUUGAUACUACUCUUUUUGCAGGUUUUUGUUUGAUAUGUGUUUUUUUUCCUUCUCUUACUCUGUUUUUUUGCAUUCUCUUUUUAAAGUAUAGUUUUGAGUUUUUGGUUCUUUUGGUUGUUGGAGAUCCUCUAUGAUUUCUGUUAAAAUUAUGACUUUUAUGGGUUUGACAGAGGUUUAACAAACGUUUGUAGCGAACAAGAGAGAAGAACAGGAAGCAGAAAGUUUGAGUUCUUGGAGUUUAUGCUACUGAUGAUUGGUUACAUGAUGCGUGGAACUUAUGUAACGAUUUUGUUGGUAUUUGCAAUUUUUGCUGUUCAAGAUUGCAAAGGGUUUACUGAUCCUCGUGAUGGUAGUAAUUAUUUCUCAGUGUUUCCAAUUUAGUGUACUUCAAAAUAAUGGUUGUGUGUUGUGUGUUAAUGUCUCCAUAAUUUAAAUUUGUAUCAUUUAUGUCAUCUUUUGUGUAUUCACACUUCUACUUUCGUAUAAAUUAGGUGAAGUUCAUGACUUUGUUUUCUUUUCUUGUUCUGCAGUUUUUGCUAUAAAUAGUUUGUAUACAAGUCUGGGCUACCCAUUGCUUCCUGGAUGGGUGCCAUAUGGAUUAGACCCUUGUGGUGAUAAGUGGCAUGGUGUACUUUGUGUCAACUCCAAUAUAACUGCAAUGUAAGAAAUCUCUCUUUUUAUUCUUUCUUGUGUUUCUCACACGGUUAGAUGGCAUUUGAUGAUAGAUCUCUUUCUUUCCCUUUUUGGCAGAGUGCUUAAUGAUUCAAAUUUGGGAGGUGAACUAAGUGACGGCAUAGGAAGCUUUGCUUCAAUCAUACAAAUGUUAGUGCCAUCUUUAUCUUUAUGAAUGCAUUGAUUUAACUUCAUGAGUUUCACCUAUUCAUGUUUUUCUGGCUUUAGCUAAUUCCUGUGUGUUAAAUGUUUGCACUUUGUUACGUUGAUGAAUUCAGAGAUCUCAGUAACAACCAUAUUGGUGGCAGUAUGCCAUCCAAUUUGCCUGUGACCGUCAAGACCUUGUAAGUUGUUAAGCUUUGUCCUUGCCAAGCUUUUUCUUCAGUUUAUAGGUUAUUGGUCCAAACUAUAUCCACAUUUUUAUCCUAUUAUGGUAUUUAUGUAUAUAUAGGUCUCUCUCUGGUAACCAGCUUACUGGUAGCAUUCCAGACACCCUAUCCUCGUUAGGGCAAUUAUCGGACUUGUAAGUUUUAUUUACUUGACUUAUGUUGAUAUUCUUUAUUUAAUGACCAUAUUUCUGUUUUCAGUACAUUUCUUUCUUUCCAUGUAGGUUGCUGAACAAUAACCAUCUUAAUGGAGUUAUUCCAGAUGCCUUUCAGCAGCUUAAGACUUUGAUUAAUAUGUAGGCAUACUUCUUUUAGCUUUUAACCUUUUUCGCUAGUGAUGGAGUUCCAUUUUCUGUGCUGUUUAUAUUAAUCCCUUCAUGUUGUUAUUAGCUUAAGACUUUGAUUAAUAUGUAGGCAUACUUCUUUUAGCUUUUAACCUUUUUCGCUAGUGAUGGAGUUCCAUUUUCUGUGCUGUUUAUAUUAAUCCCUUCAUGUUGUUAUUCUGCAGGGACUUAUCUGGGAACAGUUUAAGUGGUCAGCUGCCUCCUUCAAUGGGGAAUUUGUCGUCACUUACUACGUUGUAUGCAUUUCUCCUUGUUCGUAUGAUAAUCAGGGGAAUCUACUUUUCCGGCUAUGUGAAAUGAGUGCUAUCUUCUUUCGAGACACUUAUAGAAGUUCAAAUAUGUCCUUAAUUCCUUCAAAAGUCGAACACUAGUUUUGCUCAUACAUAAUUUAAAAUGGGAAGAAAGGUAAAUAUAGUUUGUGUAGCAUAUGGAACUGUUGUAUGGACCCAUCAAAUAAAAAAAGCUAUUGUAUGCUCAGCUGAAUGUUGGUUCGUCCAGAUGUCUUUCUUGCGAAGAAGCUAACUGAUGGAUAUUGAAGAAUUCUUUAUAACUGAUCUUUUGUCUAGUAUCUCUAUUCCCAACAACUAAACUUAAUAUACUUGAAUGGGAUCAGGAUGUUAACUAAUUGCAGACCUGAACUUGUGAAUGUAGUAUUGGUUGUGAAUUUUAUGCAGUUUUGAGUAUUAUGUUUGGCCAUCUGCAGACACUUGCAGAACAAUCAGCUUUCUGGGAUCCUUGAUGUUUUGCAAGAUCUUCCUCUAACAGAUUUGUAAUCUUCUCGACUAAUAGUUUUUCUGUCAUUAUAUGCUUUUAACUAUGUCAUCAUCUGCUCAAUGUUGUGCUUAUAAUUUGGUCACGUUCUUGUUCUGCAGAAACAUAGAGAAUAAUUUGUUCUCUGGGCCUAUACCAUCAAAAUUGUUGACCAUUCCCUCCUUCAGGUAAAACCUAGAAAUUUUGGCCCUAUUUAUUUUGAAAUUUCUUUUGAUCCGAUUGAAAUCCAUUUUUUCCGGUCUUUAAAUUCUAAAUAUGAACUGGAGUAUCUUAUUCCUCUUUCUUUUAAUUUGGCUUCAUCUCUCUGUAUUUUAUCCAAAUUUUUUUGAGGUUUCUAGGGCUAGAGAUAUAAGGAGAGCUUUGGUAUAACUGGUAAAGUUGCUGACAUGUGACCCGAAGGUUGCUGUGGAAACAUCCUCUUGCAAAAGUGUAGGGUAAGGCUGCGUAUAAUAGACCUUUGUGGUACGGCCCUUCCCCGGACCCCGCUCAUAGCGGGAGCUUGGUGCACUGGGAUGCCCAGUGGCUGGAAAAGGGAUACUAAUAUGCAUGGUCUUUUUGAUGAAGACUGCAUAUGAACCACCUUAUGAAUCACUUCCCAAUUAGGGGCUGUUAUUAGUCGUCUUUAUCCGUUCUACCUUAUGCAUCAUCCUCUGAAUCACUCAUAACUUUAGCUAAAUUCUAUUUUCUGCGUGAAUUAUCAUAUAUAGGUGGUGUUUGUUGUGAAAAGUCUUGGGGUUUUUGAAAGACCUUUUUGAUAAAACUGACAGUCUUGAACAAUUUGAUUGGUCAAAUUGAACUUACAUCAACAACAAAAUACCAGUGUAAUUCCACAAGUGGGGCCUGGGGUUAGAUUGAACUUACAAUGGAUGAAUAAUCAACAUGAAACAUUUCCUGAUAGGCUAGCCUUAGAUAUGGCCUUAAUAGUCAGUUGGACUGAAUUCGGGGGAAGCCAGUUAGAUUAGCUUUUUUCUUAUUUCAUGAAAAGUUCUUUUUGCAUACUUAUAAGCGUCAGCUGCCUUACAUGGUGAUUCUAUAUUUUUGGUCAGACGUGCAGGGAACCCCUUUAACACUACUAUCAUCCCUUCACCGCCUGUGAUAUCGCCUUCUCCUGCACCAUUUGCGCUUUCUCCAGAUGUAGCCCCUUCACAGCCAUUUACUGUACCAUCAGGACAAGGAUUACAACACUCUGGAAGGCAAAAGAGUAGUAAUUCAACCAAACACGUCAAAGUUCUUUCUAUAGCCGGAUUACUUACCCUUGUCAUACUUGGAUUGGGUGUUUGCCUUUUGAUGUCACGAUUCUUAAAAAGAAGAAGAGAGUCCCAAAAAGAAGCCAAGAGACAUCAUGAAUAUGCAUAUAAUUCAUCCAAGGGGGGCCCUAAACACAAUCAAUCCGUGCUAAAACCUUAUUAUGAUGCAGAAAAAGGUAAAUAGUACAUUUGUGUACUUUCUUCUUAUUGAUUUCUGUUUAUCAUUGCUUACCUAUUGUUCUUAAUGGCAUUGUGAUGACAAUAUGGAUAUGUUCAAAAGAAGUAGGUCUGAGGCCAGUGACUGGAAAUGGGAAAGCUCAAGGGAACAUCUCACUGAAUACUUCAGAGACUGUGAAACAUAUAGGCAUGAAGAGUACAACAUCAUAUACAGACGAUGAUCUAGAUUCGGAGAUGGAGUCGACAAUAUCGGAUAUUCUUCCCCCACCGCCACCACCUUUUCUUUCAUCUCUUUCCGCUGAGAGGAUGGUCGUAAAUCCAAUUUUGCCCUCAAUUACAUCUGUCAGACAUGCUAUGAAAGUAAAUUCUGCAGAGUUCUUCACCAUUGCCUCUCUUCAGCUGUUUACAAAUAGCUUUUCUCAAGAUAAUCUUAUUGGAGGAGGCAUGCUUGGCACAGUCUACAGAGCCGAGUCUCCCAAAAAUGUAAGCAUCUUUAUGUUUCACCAGCUUCACAUCAGUCGAUACUGUGGCAUUUUCAGUUUCAUUUCACCCUUUAAAGGUGGAAAUUUCUCGUUAUUUGUAUUAAAAGCAUGGUUUGUGGUAGCAGACAUUUCUAUAUACAUCGUACUGAUGAUGUUUGAUGGGUCCGUUUUCGUUAAAUUCGAGUUCUGCAUAGCAGUAGUAGUUCCAACCUUAUAGAUGGCAACAGUUUCCUUUUGUAGACUGUAGAUAAACCUAACACGCCUCUUGAUGUUCUGAAUUAGUUUCCUGCUUUCCUGUUACCUAUUUGUAUUCCUCAUGUUUGUAUAACCUAUUUAGUUUCCGUCACAAUCAGAAGGCGCUGACACUUAGCUAUUUCUUGAUGUUCUUUGUUUUGUUAGCUAUUGGCGGUCAAGAAACUGGAUGCUGCUGUGACCAGGCGUCAAAGUGAUCAAGAAUUUGUUGAGAUGGUGUCCAAUAUAUCUAGACUUAAGCAUGAAAACAUUGUAAAACUUGUGGGUUACUGUUCGGAGCAUGGGCAACGGCUACUUGUCUAUGAGUAUUGUAGAAAUGGUACUCUCCACGAAGCUUUGCACUUAGAUGAUGAGAUCCACAGAAAACUUUCCUGGAGUACUCGUGUGCGUAUUGCACUUCAAGCAGCAGGAGCACUAGAGUAAGUAUGGGAAAAUGCUGGAUGAUACUAGCCUUUAGGUGCUUGGAACUUGUUUUAAUGAUGUGUAGAUCUCAAUUCUGCUGGUCAAAUGGCUGUUAAGUCAGCUCUGCUUGUUUCCAGCUUAUAUCUUUGCUGUCCCACGAUUUAUUCCUUUAGCACAAUCCUUAGCUUGUAAUCAUUUAGGGAUUGAGUUGCUUCUUGCUGUUUCACUGAAAAGGUACUUGCAUGAAGUUUGUCACCCACCUAUUGUCCACCAGAACUUCAAGUCCGCUAAUGUUCUCCUCGAUGAUGAGCUUGCUGUGCGUAUAUCAGAUUGUGGUUUGGCACCUUUGAUGUCAUCUGAUUCUACAACACAGGUGAUCCAUAGAUAAACAUUUCUGAUGAUUGGUUGAUUGUUUGAAAAUAGAAUCUGGAAUCCAAUUUCACUUCUUCCGACAAAAUAGAAACAAUUAUAACAGGAGAUUCUUGGUAUUUAUUCUGAAUUCAUAAUAGCAUGUUAGCCUUUUGGUAUGUUAUCUUCACUGAACUUGUUAAGCACUUCUUUUUAACUUUUUUAGAAACUUGAUUCUUGACUUCCUGGUUUCAACCAGCAGCCACAUUAAUAUGGAAAUGUGGUGCCGAAGCAUGAAUUAGCUGCUAAAAGUUGGUGCAGUCUGUUAAUAAAAAUUGUUUGCGGCUGUUUCGUGGGCAUAAAAUGAAAGGACAAGAGCUGGUGUUUCUGCUAAUUUUUGUUGGCAACAAAAGCUGACCAUCUUAUAUUUUAUUUGUGAAUGAAUAAAGUGUUAAUGACUUCACUGUAACUUUUAGUUGCAAGGAUGCGGCUAUGGUGCUCCUGAACUUGAACUGGGAAGCUAUUCUUGUCAGAGUGAUGUUUAUAGCUUUGGAGUUGUUAUGCUAGAGCUUCUCACGGGAAGAAAAUCUUACGACAGGUUAAUUUUGUUUCGACAGAUGUAUUUGAGAACUUUUUUUUAUUGUUGAAACUGCAUAUUUUUUGUACAAUAAUACGUCUUUUCUGUAUUUGAGAACUUUUUGUUAUUGUUGAAACUGCAUAUUUUUUGUACAAUAAUACAUCUUUUAACUUUGAGCUCAUUAAAAUAUGAUUUCCAGGUCCCGUCCUAGAGGGGAGCAGUUGCUGGUUCGAUGGGCUAUUCCACGGCUGCAUGAUAUAGAUGCAUUAUCAAGAAUGGUUGAUCCUUCCCUAAAUGGUUCUUAUCCAUCGAAGUCUUUGUCUCGGUUCGCUGACAUAAUUUCCUUGUGUAUUCAGGUUAGUUUCUUCUUUUACAGGUUUUUCUUGGCUCUUUAAUGAAGUGUAAAGUUCCACUUACAGUGUUGGGUUCUGUGUGUGAGAAACUUUAUUGGUUACUGUUCAUAAAAUGAACAAGAGGCUCUGAUCCAGUUAAAUUCCAGGGUUUUGAUAAAUCAGGGGUUAAGUAUAGCAGUAGAUCACUGACUCUGUUUUGGAUUCAAUUACUUCACUGGAGACUGCAUAUAACUAUGAGGAAUAGUUUCAAGGCCGGCUCUAAUGUCAUAGCUAAUAAGGCUUGAGCCUUAGGCCCCCAAAUUUGGGAGGCCCCAUAUUUUUGAAAUAGUAGGUUUAUUAUAUGUAUUUAAAAAAAUUAGUACUUUGGUACAAAAGUAAACAUUUUCAUAUAAAAGGAAAUAAUUGUUUUUAGAUAUAUGUACAUAAAAUAAACCGUUUGACUUACUUAAAAAUAGGUAGUAUGAAUAGUCUUCUAACGUGUGAAUUGAAAUUGAUUUGAGAAGAAAAUAGCACAAGUAAAAGAUAAUACUUUAAUCUAUGUACUCACUAGAAAAAAAGACUUGAUUCUUUCUAAUGCGUUAGUAUAAUGUUAACAGUUGCUUCAAUGGAAAGAAGUUUUUCAAUAUUAAAAUUGAUAAAAUCUUAGCUAAAUCAACAAUGUUUGAAGAAAGAUUAAGUGAGUUGGCUAUAUUAUCAAUUGAAAAUAUUAUCGAUUUUUCAUCUCAAAACGCUAGAAGAAUAGAAUUCAAAUAAAAUAUUAUAUUAAUUUUUUACAAAAAAUAAAAUAAAAAUUAGGCCUCACAAAACUUUAGCUUUAGGCCAUAGAUGUGCUUGAGGCGCCCCUGAAUAUUUUAUAGAACACAUUUCAUUUUACCUGUAGCAUUUUGCUCUUUUGGUUGAUAGAAUCAUAUGAUUUGUCUGACAUAAAGUUAAUGAAAGCAUAUAGUUCACUUCUUAAUAAUCAACCUCGGAAAAUGUUGUUUUUGAUGUUAAAGAAUUCUGCAAUUAGUGAAAUUUCUAGAGACAUGAAGCUAAGAAAUUCCGUUAAAUCAAUAUUUCUUAAUCCUUCUUCGCUCAACAGGAAAACAAGCGUGUGAUUUGAGAGAAACCUCUUUCUAGUCAGUAAUAGCUAUUUAGGCUGAGUCAAUAUUAGAAUCAACCCAAUCAAGGGAGAGAAUUUUUUCAAGCUAUGCUAAAAGCUAAAUUGCCAUUUUUCUCGUAAUAAGCUAAAUUGCCAUUUUGCCAUCGCUAGAAAAACUUACUGAAUGUCUGUGAUUGAAGUGUCAGCUUUCGCUCAUUUCCUUUCUCUUUGUUGGGCAGUCGGAACCUGAAUUCAGGCCACCAAUGUCCGAAAUUGUGCAGAAUCUCCUGCAUAUGAUCUAAAGAUAUCAUAGAGGCAGCAAUGCAGUAAAACUGCUCUAGUAGUGAAAACUAGCUAUGCUGUUUCCGGCUAGUAUCUUUUAAGCAUAGAGGGAUUUCAAGUAGUUCCAAAGGAGGUAUCAUUACACUACAUUUUCUUUGCCAAAUAUUGUGUGCUAACAUCAGUAAUGUAAUGUAAAUAACACUAUGCUGUUAAGUUGCUUGAUGGGCACAUUCUUUUUGACAUCUCGAUGAGAAGGAAGAGAAAGACGGUCAUUCUUUUACCCCCCCCCCCCCCNNNNNNNNNNNNNNNNNNNNNNNNNNNNNNNNNNNNNNNNNNNNNNNNNNNNNNNNNNNNNNNNNNNNNNNNNNNNNNNNNNNNNNNNNNNNNNNNNNNNNNNNNNNNNNNNNNNNNNNNNNNNNNNNNNNNNNNNNNNNNNNNNNNNNNNNNNNNNNNNNNNNNNNNNNNNNNNNNNNNNNNNNNNNNNNNNNNNNNNNNNNNNNNUUUUCCCCCCCCCCCCCCCUAGUGUAAUCGAUAAUUUCUGUUUAUAGUUCAUAUAUGGUGAUAUGUAAUAUAUUUCCUGCAAAUUCUUUCCUUAAUAUCUUGUAAUCACUUGUAUUAUUUACUGUGUAGAGAUUAUGUCUGUUAUAGUAUUAAUAGAUUCCAUCUUUUGUUUAAUUUUCUGUGAAGGUGGUAACAAGUUAAAAAGUUGUGGUGAAAGAAUUCCUUGGUGCAAGGCAGUGUUUUCAAUUUUCCUGGUAACUUGGUUAACCUGUUGGAAUGGUUAAAUUAUAAUGAAUUAUAAAAAGUUUGUAAAAUUAGUGAUGAAAACAGAGGUCAUAACUAAAAUCUCAAACAUUUUAGACAAGGUCAUUCUGUGGUCGUUUAAUGUAAUUUUGGAUCUCUUGCUAGUACGACCUAUUAAACAAUUCGUUAUGUAAAUAGCGUUAAAUUGAACAUCCAAGAACCCACCCACAUGAGUUGUGGUAGAGUGGUAAGUACUCCUUCAUCCUUAACUAGAGGUCUCGGGUUCGAGACUUGGGUAUGGAGUCGUUUUUGUUAGGGAGUGAUUUACCCUCAAUAUUGGACUUUCUGGCGCAAAUUUGAAUUUAGUCGCAUCCCAAUGUAAGUACCGGAUAAAAUGAUACACCAAUAACAAAUAAUAAGAAUAACCUAGUAAAAUCCCACAAGGGAGAUUUGGGGAGGGUGACGUAGACCUUAUGCAGAUCUUAUCUCUAUUCCGAUGGGGAUAGAGAGGUUGUAUCUGAUAGACACUCGGUUCAAAAGACGAAAAUAGAUAAUACAUUAAUACCAUCAAUAAAAAUCAUCGAAAUAAUAACAUCACAAGAACCCGUAAAUAAAAAAAAAGUAGAAAUAAUAACCCACAAAAUGGUAAAAUACCAUUUUUAUAUGCCUCUUUAAUAUAGACUAUCCUAUAUUCUAAUUAUAAUAAGGUAUAAGCAACUAAUGUUACCAAAUUUUCUUAGCUUAAUAUUGAACUAUUCAUCAGUUUCAUGUCACACCCUAACCUAGGUGAGGCGUGGCUGGCAUUCGCUGUCGUACUGUCCGAGCAAAUCACUUUAUAACUCUUGAAUGUUGGACGUAACCCAGAAUAUACAUAGGCCAACAUGACCGAACUCUUUCAUACUAUAAGCUAUCAGGGCUAAUAUGGCUGCAACUCGUAAUAUAUCGUCGGUGGUCAAGCAAUGUAUCAGCUAGCCAUCAUACUCAAAAUAUCAAUACAUAUUCAGGUCGAGGAGGCCCCUAUGAGUACCAAUACAGGACAACCCAAAAACAAAGCAUAAAUGAGGGCCGAAAAGGCCACUAACUUACUAUACAUACUGAACAUAUGUCUACAAAGCCUCCAACAGUAUCUGACAUCAAAAUAUCGUCGGGACAGGACCCCGGCCUACCCGUAAGUCUAUAACAAAAUCUGAUAUCAUGACCUCUAGACUCGGCUAUACUCCGAAAGAGAUGGAGUCUUACCGAUUCCCCUAUGAAUGUCAAUCAUGUCUACUUAGAGAGUUCGUUAAACUGAUUACUUGCACAUGCAGGCAUGAAGUGCAGCGCCCCAGCAAUGGGACAUUAGUACAAUGAGAUGUACAAAGUAUGUAAGGCAGAAAGCAAUACAUAUAAAAAAAAAACUGAAAAUCGAAAAACAUGAAUGAAUACAAAAAAUAGUCUAUUGAAUGAUAAGAAAAAGAGUGAGAUUACCACAUACUCUAGAUCGACUUACUAGAUCGCUGUUUACUUGGACCACUUGGUCCUUCAGUCUGCAACUCAACCUAUCAUAAGAUUCUGAACUUUUCUAUCAACUAUUGCUCAGUGAUCUCUUGUUGCAUCGUCGUUGUUACUCAUUAUCAGAACACAGUGGCUCUUACACGUAGGAAGGUAGACCGCCAGUAAGGCACAUAAAAACAUUACUAUCUGGUGGCACGUACGCGUAGAAGCAAACCAUCCAUACGAAUCAAAAUAUUCGGGUCAGACUAUGCAUAUAUAUGGGACCAUCCAUAGCCAACUUUUAUCUUACCUAUGCGUUUUUAUAGACACCAUCAGUUAACCUUCAUUACCCCCCUAUGAGUUUAUAGACCAUCCAUAAGGAACAUACUUAUGCAUAAAUAACAUUACAAAACAUGCAACAGUCAACAUUGUACAAGCUAGUUACCCGUGUCUAUAACGUAUUACUUCUUCUAGUACUUUCGGUAACUCUUAGUUCGUAUUCGACAACACGCUAUCCCUAAACAUUAGCUUUAAGGAAGCUCAUAACUAUUCCCGGAUUUACACCUCCAUCGUGACAUACUACUAAAAGGCUUUCGAUAUUUGUAUAAUCUUACCUUUACAAAUUCAUUUAGUACAUCAUAGAGCUCGUAUUUAAUACUGUUUCAAGAGACUUAUAGCAUUCGUUUACUCAAUCUCCACUUCCUUUAACUUAUGCAAGUUAAUUACUAUUUUCGCAUGCACACGAUUAUUCUAGUUAGGUAGUACAUUGCGUUUCAUAACUUAUGUGACCUUACGUACUUAUACGUACAUUCUAUUCUUCAUUAGUUAGCUUGUUCAUUCAUAGCCUUUAAAUUUAUGGGGAGGUUCUUAUUAAGCAAAUAUCACAUCUCUUAAUUUACAUCUCUCUCUUUCUAGCAUUAGGGAUCUUCCGUAUCUACCUUCACUAAGUAAUGAAAAUUGCUUCGGCCAUUUUAUAAGUUCAUAGAUUCUAUAUUCACUUUUGAACUAUUAGAGGCUCAUAACCCGUCAACAUAGAACAUACACUAGGACUCGUCCCCUUAAACCUCUUAUAAUGGUGACGUCACUACAGAAUCAUGAUAGAAGAAGAAAUGGAAGGCCUUACAUACCUUUAAGUCGAUCCUUCGAUGAAGAUGGUGGGAAAGUCUCCUCUUCAAUGUACUCUACACCAAUGAAAAUAACACUACUAUCAAUAAUAGUAACACAUCAACUAGCUACCACGCGACAAACUUGUUCUACGGAAAAUCGGAUAACAUCUCCUACACUUCUUUCACCUCCCUCAAGAUCACAGCAUCAAUAAUAAUAGGCCACCCUUAAUUCAUAUAUCCAGCACCUUAACAACACGAGAUCUGCCCAAAAAUACAAUAUAACAACAUUAAUAAAGCCAACGUUAAACUUAGGAAUAGCUAGCUUAUGAUACGUCGAGCGACAAGCUCGGUCAUUAACUAGCAACAAAGCACUCUUCUACACUUCUUAUUCUCUUCAAGUUACAUAUUAACAAUGCUCCCGCGUGCGCGCGCGCGCGCACACACACACACACACACACACACAUAUAUAUAUAUAUAUGUAUGUAUGUAUGUAUUCUCCCAAAACUCCAGCUACAACAACAUCAUAAAAACACCUCAAAAUAGUCCAACAUGGUAACUUCUAGCUCCAAAAAACUUAGCUAGAGCUUAGAUAUGAUCAAACUCAUGUAGGAGAGAUCUUACCAUUAAACGACAAGAAAAAUUUCAAGAACUACUCUCCUUAAAAUUGAAAUAGCUCACAACGCAUCAACAACAUCAUAUAAGUGAUCUCCACCGCUUAUACAACACUUUUUAUGAAGAACAUAGGUGGUUUUGCCUUAGAUUUGUAUAUAAAACUUUUGGAUAUGCUUAACGAGAGUUUAGAUAUGCUUGGAGGUCUAAUUUGGUCGAAAAUGAGACUUAGAGACAAAAGCUAUCACUUUAUAUAACAAGAUAAGCUUCCGCCGACUUUGUGGGUCCCAAGGGGGCUGCUUGCGCAGUCUCGCAAAAAUGCAAAUAUCUCUCUAUUCUGACAUCGUAUAGACGAACGGUGUAAAGAGUUGAAAACUAGACUCGUAGAUCUUUAAUUUGAUAUGUGUAUCACCCUGUAACUCGAAGUAUAUUAAGAGAAAAGCUAAGUGAUAUUAGACCCAAAUUUAGCUCAUAUUAUAAAUGUAACUUGUGACAACUUUUGCCGUAUUUUAUUUUACAACUUGUUUGACUUAAAAAAUAAAUAUACGAAUAUUAUAUGAUUCAAUUAUUUUAAAACAUGACCUCCUUAUAGUUAAAUUUGAUGUUUACAAUGCGGUCCAAUAUGCGGACCGUAUUCCCACCGCAUACCCAAGCAGAGAGGCCAGGAAUUUGGGACCCUUCUGCAGUCAAAUCUGCGGACCGCAUAUCAACUCUCCGAUCGCAGAGUGCAAUCGUAGAUCAUGCACGGCUUCAAUUUUCUAAACUUUUAAACCAGACUCCUUUCUAAUAAAACACCCCAACACCUCAUUUGCAUAUUUUCUGAACAAUUUAAGAGAGAAGGAAGAGAGAGUUCUUGAGGGAGAAAGGGUUCAUCAUCAAAUUGAUUAUCCAAAACUAUCCGAGCCGGGAAAUUCUAAUUUAAUAUCUUCAUCCCCACUCUUACAUAUAAAAUCCCUAACCCUUUUCCCCAAUUUUCAGAUUUAAAACUAGGUAGGGAGUCUCAUGCUUUGAUUUUUGAAAUAAUGGGUGGAAGCUCACAUGCAUGUCUUUCAAAACCUAAAAUAUUGUAAGGGGAAAUUGGGUAGAAGUACAGAGCUGUGCUUGAUAACCUAAACAAGCCGGGUAGUAAUUGUGAACUUCAAUUCUAAGGUACAUGUGUUAAUUUUUUAAUUAGAUUGGCGUGGCUAGAUUCCUUGGUGACUAAGAAUAGGAGUUUAAAAAGGGAAUUCGACUCCAGGUAUGUAUGGCUAACCUUGUCACCUUGUUGGUGUGAAUUGCUUGGUAUUUGAUAUCUUUGUGGGUUAUUUGUGAGCUUCUUGUGACUUGUAUGAUUAUGAAUGCAUCUUGUGGUAAAAGUCGAGGAAUAAAUGAUUAAAGGGAUUCAUAAAUGGUGAAAUUGGAACAACUGUAGUAACAAUGUACUUGAAUUAUUGUGGGCAUUUGUUGUGGUGACUUGAAUUGCAUAUGAACUGUGAAUAUGAUGGAAUUGGUAUUGUUGGUUAUGGAAACACUUGUAACGUUAUUGUGGUUAUGUACUGAGAAGCAUUGUUGCUAAUCUUCGUGAAUUCAUUGUUGUGGUUGUGUUCUUUAUGAAUUGAAGCUGUACGGCGGGGUUAGGUUGCGCGCCGCAACACGAAGUUAUAAGGUGUAGGUUGUUGUGAUAAGGGUGGCCGGGGUGAUAAGGGUGGCCGAGGUAACAAGGGUGGAAAAGUGAUCGAAAUCCCUGUUGAAAUAAAUACUUGAGAAAACUUACGAAAUCAUUGCCGUGGAAUUGUGAAAAGGGGAAACCAGGAGAGUGUGCAACCUUGUUUGGCUUGAUUGUACUUUUUAUGUGUGCUUGGUUGUUGCUUUUAUUGCUAUUUUCUACUUAUGUACGACUUGAGUUUACUUGGGACAAUUUUUGUUCAUACAUACCAGUACAAUUCAAAUGUGUUGACAUCCCUUUUGGCGGGGGUGCUACAUUCGUGUUAUGAUUGUAGGUGAAUCUAUAGCAGGUACUCCGAUCCACCGCCCGUGGCUCUUCCUCAUUCCCUGUCAGCUGUACUGGUGAUCCCCUUUCCUUCCGAGGCUCUGCGUGGCUCAUGCCACUUCUAUUCUUAUAUUUUGAGAUCUUAUUUUGGUGUGUGAAAAAGGUACAGCCGGAGCCUUGUUGCCGGAAAGUAUUAUACUAUCAUCUUUCAUCCUUAGAGGCUCCGUAGACAGGAAAUGUGGGUUAUGAACUAUAUAGUAUGUACUUUGUAUUUUGGGCAAUGUAAAUUGUAAACCUUGCUAAUAUCAUCUAUGUUAUUUAUGCCUUGUAAAAGGUGUUUCAAUUAUAAAUAACUGUUCCACUCGGUUAGUAAGAAAUAGAAAUGUGGGGUAACUCAUGGGGUUAGGAAAGGCACCCAGGUCCACUCGCCUGGGGAUACCCGGUCGAGUGCCGCUCAUUUCCCUCGGAUUUGGGGCGUGACAAACUUCGUAUCAGAGACUAAGGUUUUAAAAAGAGUCCUAGGAUGUCUCGGAGCCGUGCAUAGUAGAGCCCUUCUUAUCGGUGUGUUAUCGACCACAUCUAUAAGCAGAGGCUACACGGGCAUUUAGGAAACUACUCUUUUAUUUGUUAUUCCAUUUCGUGUGGUGAAGUGAAAAGUGGAAAUAUUUGUGUCUAACCCGUGCCUUGUCCCGAAAUUUUCAGAAACGGCACCUAAGAAGAAAGCUAGACUCGGCUUUGAGGCCAACUUCACCACAAGUGUGGUCGUGAAUCAAAUACCGGACGCCGUGGGUGAGAGUGACUCCCCGGCUUUGAAUCUGCCUGGCCCGUCUCUUCCAAAUCCAAGCAUUCCUAUUCCAACUGCGACAGAGGGUGUCACCGUCCCUCCUGCCGAUAUUCCUAAUCCUGAUAUUGCUCCAGCAUUCGGUCCCGAGGCUUCUGAUGGAGACCUCAGGGGAGCCAUCCGUAUGUUGACCCAGUUAGUGGCCGCCCAGGCCCAGAGAUAUCAUAAUGCCCCUAUGUCCUCCAGCGAACAGGGAGAUUUCGCCAGCUUUAGAGUCCACCAGUUUCUGCAAUUGGCCCCUCCAGAGUUCUCAGUCACAGAUCUAUAGGCCAAUCCGCAGGAUUUUCUUGAUGAGAUAUACAAGUCCCUUCGUGUGAUGAAGGCCACAAAUUCAUAGGGGAUUGAGUUAGCUUCUUACAGGUUGAGAGCAGCAGCACGCUCGUGGUUUCUUACAGGUUGAGAGCAGCAUCACGCUCGUGGUUCGAGAAGUGGGAGGAUUCCCGCGAGGAGGGAAGACCUCCGGCUAGAUGAGAGGAGUUUGUGGAUGCUUUUAUGGACCAUUUCUUGCCUAACGAGACAAUGGCAGCCCGUGCCCCGAGUUAGAGGUUCUCAAGCAGGGUAGUAUGAGUGUCUGGGAGUACCAUAUGGAGUUUGUGAGGUUGUCCAAGUAAUCUCCUCAGCUAGUGUCGGCCAUGGGUGCUUGAGUUCGGCAUUUUAUUCAGGGUCUUAGUCCGUUGGUGGUGAAUGAGUUUGCUACAGCGGCCUUACACUCAGAUAUGAAUUAUGGAAAGAUUGUAGGAUUCGCUCAGGCCACAAAGGCUAGGAAGUUGAAGAUACGGGCGGAUAGGGAGAGUAGCAACAGGGCCCGGUCAAUGGGUCACUUAGGGAGGUUAGAUCCGAGGAGAGGGAAAUCAGGGCUAUCCCAUUCAUAUGCCCAGUCCUCAGCAAGUGCACCGCCAUCUGUGCACAGCUAUCAGCAUGGUAGUUCCUUAAGCCAGGUUCUGACAGUAGGAGGUUCUACCAGUUCGGUCAUUCGGGGAUGAGGCCCCGGCAACAGAGGGAGCUACAUGUCCCAAGUGUGGGAGGUUCCAUACAGAGACUUGCUAUUUGGACAUCCCGAUGUGUUCUAAUUGCAGGGUGAGAGGUCACAUCCAGCGGGACUAUCGUCCGUCUAGGCAGGGCAUGGGUAUGGGAUUCCCCCAGUCAUCCGGUUCUUCAGUUGCUACAUCAUCAGUGUGUCCUCCAGCUCCAGCAGGGCGUGGUGCAGUUAGGGGUGGGGCUCGUGGUAGAGGUGGACCGAGCCGGUUCUAUAAUUUGAGGGGUCGCCAGAGUGUUGAGGCUUCUCUAGAUGUUGCUACAGGUAUCUUAUCUAUUCAGACUAUUGAUUGUUAUGCUCUUAUCGAUCCGGGGUCUUCUUUGUCCUAUGUCACCCCCUUCAUUGCUUCAAGUUUUGGGAUAGAACCUGAACAACUUCACGAGCCAUUCUCUGUAUCGACCCCGGUUGGUUAUUCUGUUACAGCCGCGCGAGUUUAUAGGAAUUGUGUGGUCAUGGUAUGUGGUCGUGUUACCAGGACCGACCUUUUUAAGCUUGGAAUGGUAGAUUUUAACGUAAUUAUGGGAAUGGACUGGCUUUAUUCAUGCUUUUCUAAACUUGACUGCCGAACGAGAGUCAUGAGACUCGAGUUCCCAAACAAGUCAGUUCUUUCAGAAUGAUGAGGCUUCUCCAGAUGUUAUUACAGGUAUCUUGUCUGUUCAGACCAUCGAUUGUUAUGCUCUUAUUGACCCUGGGUCUUCUUUGUCCUAUGUCACCCCCAUUCAUUGCUCCGAGCUUUGGGAUAGAACCCGAAUAGCUUCAUGAGCCAUUUUCCGUAUCGACUCCGGUUGUUGAUUCUAUUACAGUUGCACGAGUUUAUAGGAAAUGUGUCAUCACGGUGUGUGGUCGUGUUACCAUGACCGACCUUAUUAAACUUGGAAUGGUAGAUUUUGACGUAAUUAUGAGAAUGGACUGGCUUUAUUCGUGCUUUGCUAAACUUGACUGCCGGACGAGAGUCAUGAGUCUCAUGUUCCUUAGCAAAACGGUUGUUGAGUGGAAAGGGAAUGGUGUUGUGCCAAUAGGUAGGCUUAUUUCUUACCUUAAGGCUUCGAAGAUGAUUAAGAAGGGGUGCAUCUAUAAAUUGGUUCGGGUGGCGGACACCGCUUCAAAAGUACAUGCCCCAAAAUCUGUGCCAGUUGUAAAUGAGUUUCUUGAGGUAUUUCCAGAUGAGCUUCCAGGAAUUCCGCCAGAUAGGGAGAUUGAUUUUGGGAUUGAUGUAUUGCCAGGUACCCAGCCAAUAUCUAUUCCACCAUACAAAAUGGCGCCAGUAGAAUUACAAGAGUUGAAGGAGCAGCUGAAGGAUUUAAUAGAGAAGGGGUUCAUUCGAUCGAGUGUGUCGCCAUGGGGUGCUACGGUUCUUUUUGUCAAAAAGAAGGAUGGGUCGCUUCGGAUGUGCAUCGAUUAUCGGCAGCUUAAUAAAUUCACCAUCAAGAAUAAAUACCCUUUACCCCGGAUAGAUGAUUUGUUCGACCAAUUGCAAGGUGCGAAGUUCUACUCUAAAAUUGAUUUGCGGUCCGGGUAACACCAAUUGAAGACCAGAGAGCAGGAUAUUCCUAAGACCGCUUUCAAAACCCACUAUGGUCACUUCAAAUUCUUGGUCAUGUCUUUUGGGCUAACCAAUGCCCCGACAAAUUUCAUGGAUCUUAUGAAUCGGGUCUUCAAGCCAUUUCUAGACUCCUUUGUGGUUGUUUUCAUUGACGACAUCCUCGUUUAUUUGCAAAGCAGGGAGGAUCAUGCCAAUCACCUCAGGGCAGUUUUGCAGACACUCCAUCAGCACCAGUUGUAUGCUAAAUUCUCAAAAUGUGAAUUUUGGUUGGAGUCUGUCACUUUCCUGAGUCAUGUUGUUUCCAGUAAGGGAAUUCGAGUGGAACCCCAAAAGAUUGCAGUAGUGAAGGAUUGGCAUAGGCCCACAACCCCGACGGAGAUCCGUAGCUUAUUUGGGUUAGCGGGGUAUUAUCGGAGGUUUGUAAAAGGGUUCUCCACCCUUGCCUCCCCAUUGACUAAAUUGACGCAGAAAUCAGUCAAAUUCCAUUGGUCCAAUGCCUGUGAGAAAAGUUUCCAGGAAUUAAAGUCAAGAUUGACCUCGACACCGGUAUUGGCUCUUUCAAAAGGCACGGAAGGAUUUGUGGUGUAUUGCGAUGCCUACAGAGUCGGUUUAGGGUGUGUGCUCAUGCAGCAUGGGAAGGCUAUAGCAUAUGCUUCAAGGCAACUCAAGAAUCACAAGAAAAAUUGCUUGACGCAUGACUUGGAGCUUGCAGCAGUUGUGUUUGCCUUAAAAAUAUGGCGUUGUUACCUUUAUGGGGUCCAUGUGGAUGUGUUCUCGGACCAUAAGAGUCUCCAAUAUUUUUUUAAGCAUAGGAGUUAAACUUGAGGCAGUGGCGGUGGUUAGAAUUGCAUAAAGACUAUGAUAUUAAAAUUUUGUACCAUCCAGGGAAGACAAACAUGGUGGCCGACGCCCUUAGUCGGAAAUCCAUGGGUAGUUUGUCUCACUUGGGAGCAGAUAAGAGGAUCAUAGCUUGAGAGGUUUAUCAAUUGAAUAGUCUUGGGGUUUGUAUCUCGACCCCAAAUGAGGAGGAAAUUAUGGUGCACAAUGUAGUAGAGUCGUCGCUUGUAACGUAAGUCAAGGAAAAAUAGUUCAUUGAUCCAGCGUUGGCACAAAUGAAGGAGGCAAUUCGGAGUAACCAAAUUUCGGCAUUUUCACUUGGUAGCCAUGAUGGUGAGUUACGAUGUGAGUAGGCUAUGCGUCCCAGAUAUAGAUAAUAUUCGGGAGAGGGUAAUGGCGGAGGCUCACCAUUCCAGGUAUUCGGUGCACCCAGGUUCUAUGAAAAUGUAUCACGGUCUCAAGGAAAUUUAUUAGUGGAGCGGUAUGAAGAGGGGUGUGGCAGAUUGUAUCUGAAUGUUCAAAUUGUCAGCAAGUAAAGGCCGAGCAUCAGCGACCCGGUGGGUUAACCCAACUUAUGGAAAUACCAAUAUGGAAAUGGGAGAUGAUCAAUAUGGAUUUCGUGGCAGGACUACCUCGCACUCAGCGCAAAUUCGACUCAAUUUGGGUGAUAAUGGAUCGACUCACCAAAGCAGCCCACUUCUUGCCGGUCAAGUCCACCAAUACUGCAGCACAAUAUACUCCAUUGUAUAUCAAGGAAAUAGUGAGGCUUCAUGGUACUCCACUUUCUAUUAUUUCGGAUUGAGGGGCUCAAUUCACAACUAACUUUUGGAAGAAAUUUCAUCAAGGUUUGGGCACUCAGGUGAACCUCGGCAUGAAUUUUCAUUCGCAAACCGAUGGUCAAGCAGAGAGGACUAUUCAGAUGCUUAAAGAUAUGUCGCGGUCUUGUGUCUUGGAUUUCAAAGGUAAUUGGGAUGAUCAUUUGCCCCUUAUAGAAUUUGCUUACAAUAACAGCUUCCAUGCUAGCAUCCAGAUGGCCUCGUUUGAGGAUUUGUAGGGGAGGAGAUGUAGGUCCCUGAUCGGAUGGUUCGAAGCAAGUGAAGCAGAAAUGAUAGGGCCGGAUCUCGUGCAACAAUCCAUGGAAAAGGUUAAAAUCAUUUAGGAAAGGAUGAAGAAUUUGCAGAGUCACCAGAAAUCCUAUGAGGACGUGCGUCGAAGAGAAUUAAAGUUCCAAGAGGGUGAAUGGGUAUUCUUGCAGGUGUCUCCGAUGAAGGGAGUGAUGCGAUUUGGGAAGAAAGAGAAGCUAAGUCCUAGAUAUGUCGGGCCUUAUCAAAUUAUUCAAAGGAUCGGACAAGUCGCUUAUAGGUUUGCCCCCUAGAAUGUCCUUAGUGCACUCGGUGUUCCACGUGUCCAUGUUAAGGAAAGUGGUUAGGGAUCCGUCCACCAUCGUUCCAGUUGAAGACAUCAAGGUUACUGAAGAAUUAUCGUAUGAAGAGAUUCCGGUUGCUAUUCUUGAUAGACAAGUCCGUAAAUUGCGAAAUAAGGAGAUCGCUUCGGUUAAAGUGUUGUGGCGAAAUCAACAAGUCUAAGAGGCCAUGUGGGAAGCAGAAGAUGAGAUGAAAGUAAAAUAACCCUAUUUGUUUGAACAAGUCUAGGAGUGGUCGUGUAAGUUCUUGUCCCUAAGCGAACUAGCAUUGUGUCCCAUUUGGUGCAAAAGUUCCCUAAAUGCUUUACUAUUGUAGUUCUCCAAGUUAUGCCAAAAAAUUUGUGUGUCGUGAUUGUUUGGGCCCUAUGCAACUCUUAUCGGUAAAUGAAGUUUUUGUGCUUUUGUGGUAGGUAAUUGGCCCAUGGUAGAGUAAGUGUAAAAUAGUAACGAUUAAUUUUGCAUGGAUAGAAUGUAUUGAAAUGAUUAACUGUGUCGCACUCCUUAAGGUAAUCAACUAUGUGUAAAAGGGUGUCAAGCAAUUGAAUGUGCGUAGGUGUAAAGGUAAUGAAUUGGACUAUAGGAACUCUUCAUGCUAAGUGAAAGUAUCGUACUCUUGUGAUAAGAAAAUGGCUUAUGAUAGUGCACACGAUUAAUGCUUAAUUUAAUUUCGUAUAAUGUACCAAAAUGGUUAAGAGUGUGUCGUACUCCUUGAGGUAACUGACUAUAUGCGAAAGUGUGUUGAUAAAUUGAGUAUGUACAAGUGUGAAGGUAAUGAAUUGUAUACCAGUUAUAGGGGUAGCAAGAUUUGUGCAAUGGUGCUUGGAAAUGUGUUUUAGGGACUCCCUGACAGGUAGAUAAUGUCCAAAUUACAAAGGAAACUCUGGAGAAAUUUUUCUAAAAUAUGAGAGUUAGUGAAAACUUAGAAGCUUGCAUAUCAUGUUUCCAAACUAUUUAAUUUUCAAAGUUCUCAUUUGAGGACGAAUGAUCUUAAGCAGGAGAGGAUGUAAGACCCCGUGAAAAUGAGUGCUCAAAUCCUAGCAACUCAUAGAGUCAGGUCCACCUAUAUGUUGGGACCCUUUCUACUGAAUUUAUACUUAAAAAUCUAGAGCCAAAGUUUUCCGGAAAAAUAUCAUUUCUGCGGUCAAGAAUGCGGUCGGAGAUUAGGUAUACAUACCGCAUCUCUGAAGCAGAGUUAAUCAGAGAGUUAGCUAAAUUUUAUGUUUACAAUGCGAUCUAUUAUGCGAUCGCAUAACCAAUAUGCGGACCGCAUAGUAGUCGCAUAAAUUUCUUGAGGAUUUGAGGAGGUCAGUUUUGCGGUGCAAUAUGCGAUCGCAGAACAGGAAUUCAGACCGCAUUCCCACCGCAUAUCCAAGCAGAGAGGCCAGCAAUUUGGGACCCUUCUGCGGUCCAAUCAGCAAACCGCAUAUCAACUUUGCAAUCGCAGAGUGCGACCGCUGAUCAUGCACAUGCUUCAAUUUUCUAAACUUUUAAACCUAACCCAUUUCUAAUAAAACACCCCAACCCCUCGUUUUUGCAUAUUUUCUGAACAAAACAAGAGAGAAGGAAGAGAGAUUUCUUGAGGGAGAAAGGGUUCAUCAUCAAAUUGAUUCUCCAAAAUUAUCCGGGCCAGAAAAUUCUAAUUUACUAUUUUCAUCCCCACUCUUACAGGUAAAAUCCCUAACCCUUUUCCCAAAUUUUCAGAUUUAAACUAAGGAGGGAGUCUCAUGCUUUAAUUUUUGAAAUAAUGGAUGGAAACUCAUAUGCAUAUCUUUCAAAAUCUAAAAUCUAGUAAGGGAAAUUGGGUAGAAGUACAGAACUAUGCUUGAUAACCUAAAUAAGCCGGGUAGUAAUUGUGAACUUCAAUUCUAAGGUACAUGAUUAAUUUGUGAAUUAGAUUGAUGUGGCUAUAUUGCUUCGUGACUAAGAAUGGGAUUUUAAAAAGGGAAUUCGACUCCAGGUAUGUAUGGCUAACCUUGAUCCUUGUGAAAUCGCCUUGUUGGUGUGAAUUGAUUGGUAGUUGAUAUUUUUGUGGGUUAUUUUUGAGCUUCUUGUGACUUGUGUGAUUGUGAAUGCAUCUUGUGGAAAAAGUCGAGGAAUAAAUGAUUAAAUGAUUCAUAAAUGGUGAAAUCGAAACAACCGUGGUAACAAUAUACUAGAAUUAUUGUGGGCAUUUGUUGUGGUGUCUUGAAUUGCAUAUGAACUGUUGAAUAUGAUGGAAUUGGUAUUGUUGGUUAUGGAAACACUUGUAACAUUGUUGUGGUUAUGUAUUGAGAAGCAUUGUUGUUAAUCUUCGUGAAUUAAUUGUUGUGGUUGUGUUGUUUGUGAAUUGAAACUGUACGGCAAGGUCGGGUUGCGCUCCGCAACACGAAGUUAUAAUGUGUGGAUUGUGGUGAUAAGGGUGGCCGAGGUAAUAAAUGUGGUCGAGGUAAUAAGGGUGGAAAAGUGAUCGAAAUCAGUGUUGAAAUAAAUAAUUGAGUAAACUUGUGAAAUCAUUUUGUGGAAUUGUGGAAAUGGAAAAUAGGAGAGUGUGCACCCUUUUUUGGCUUGAUUGUACCUUUUAUGUGUGCUUGGUUGCUGCUUUUAUUGCUGUUUUCUACUUGUAUACGGCUUGAGUUUACUUGGGACAAGUUUUGUUCAUAGAUACCAGUACAAUUCAAAUGUGCCGACGUCCCUUUUGCCGGGGGCGCUACAUUCGUGUUAUGAUUGUAGGUGAAUCUAUAGCAGGUACUCCAGUCCACCGCCCGUGGCUCUUCCUCAUUCCCUGUCAGCUGUACUGGUGAGCCCCUUUCCUUCCGGGGCCCUGCGUGGCUCAUGCCGCUUUUGUUCUUGUAUUUUGAGAUCUUAUUUUGGUGUGUGAAAAAGGUAUAGCCGGAGCCUUGUUACCAGCAAGUAUUAUACUAUCAUCUUUCAUCCUUAAAGGCUCCGUAGACAGGAAAUGUGGGUCAUGAACUAUGCAGUAUGUACUUUGUAUUUUGGGCAUUGUAAAUUGUAGACCACGCUAAUAUCAUAUAUGUUAUGUAUGCCUUGUAUAAGGUGUUUCAAUUAUAAAUAAUUGUUCCACUCGGUUAGUAAGAAAUGGGAAUGUGGGGUAACUCAUGGGUUAGGAAAAGCACCUAGGUCCGCUCGACUGGGGAUACCCGGUCGAAUGUCGAUCAUGUCUUUCGGAUUUGGGGCGUGACACUUGGUUUACUCUGAAAGUACGGGUUUUAACAUAUUUAAUUUGUUUAACCUCCAACCCUCGCGUUACUUCCUUAACUCUUAUUUUAAUCCAUCAUUAUCUUUGUAAAGGUCCUUAAGCUCGUUGUCUUACGUUGAUUCACUUAAAAUGCAUUGUAUCUUGAAUGUAUGGGGUAUUACAUUUCAAAUGUCUACCUUUUGUGUCAAGGUAUUCAUUUCCUUUAAAAGGAUUUCAAUGUAUAAUACUAAUAAAUUUAGAAGGAGUUGUGUUUUCUCUCUUUCAAUACUUUUUAUAAUCUAUAAGGUCUGUGGUGUGAUGAUUGAGAACCAUUCACAUUUAAUAAUAGGUCUCGGGUUUAAACUUUGGGACGACAAACUUCUUAGUUGGCAACACCUUUCUUUCCUCAAAAUCAAGCGCUUAGACCUCUUAUAAGAUGGAAAAGGAGCAUAUUUUUUCUCAUUUUAAGUGUGUAAAUUAAAAUAAAUAAAAGAGUAAUAAAAAAGGCAGAUUCAAAUAAAGAAUGUGAAUCGAAUCCUAUUAGCAUUGUGCAGAACGGAGAAAUACUUUCAAUUAAAGAUUGGAAGAUUUGUGCUCAUUUUCUGCCAAAGAAUUUUACAAGAUUCAAAUUUUAAAGAACAUUAAUUCUCAUUUACAAUAGACUCUUUUAGACAUGUGACAAAAAAUAUCUCUUUUGAACUUCACAAAAUUUAUUAUAUUGAAUAAUUUUCUUUUGGCCUUUCUUUUUACAAGAGCUGCUUCUUGAAGAUUUUAACUUUAAAACUCACGUUGUUACACAUUCCUUCUGUUUAAAAAAAAAAUAAAAAUGUGUAGGCUUCUCAUAUCAUAAGGGCAUAUGCUGUAAUUAUCAACACUUUCGAUAUAAAAUGGAAUAAAGAAAUAUUUUUUGAAAUUCGUUCUCGUAUCAUCAUUAAAUAAAAACAUCUAAAUCAAUAUUUUAAAUAGAGACAAAUUGAAUAAUCUUUCACAAGAGCAGUUAAUUUUAAUAUUUUAGCCAAGCUAAGAAAUUUGUUCCCUUUCACUUUUUUCUUUUCUGAAAAGGAAAAAAGAAAAAUAAGGGACGAGAGAAGAUGGGAUGUCAGCUGCAGUGCAGGACUUGUUACAGCAAGUCUCCCACGGCGUCGUUUUAUUCGUCUCCUUCUCCUUCUCCUCCGCGUCUUCUGCAUCUCACAGUCCUGCGAAUUACUGCUUCACCAAUUACCCACCCAGGUUCUCUCUCUUAAUUUCUCUCUCUACUUUUUUCUUCAUUCACUGUUUACUCUUAUGCAUAUUUCAUAAAUACAUAUAACAAUAGGUAGUUACCGAUCUCCCUUACUGUUAAAGAACUCUUUUUUUUUUUCACCCUAAUUUUUGUUGAUGAAUUUUGAACCUUGAUCCUCCAUAAUUCGCCGCUAAUGUAAGAAUAUUAUGUCUUUUUUCUGAUUAUAGCUGAAACAAUUAUCCCCGAAUAUGCAUGCCUUUUGGAUUUAAAACAAUCUCUGCCGCAGAAUUUGGAUUCUUUGACAUAUUUUUUGUUUAGUUUUACGGAGAUGGAUUUUUUCUGUUCUUUAAUUUUAAAUGGGCGAAUAGAGCAAAAUGCUUAAAGAACAUUGAUAUCACUUUGCAAGUAUUAGUUUUCUGCUAUCAAGAGGGAAGUGAAAAAGGGUAAAAAAUGUUUUUGUGUUUUAUUUUAUAGAGGGAGAGAAUCUAUGUAUUAUCUUUCCCAAUAAUUGGCUAAGCUAAUAGAAUUACUUUUUGAAUUGGCUGAAGUCAUUCCUCAACCCGGAGUAUCUCAUGAAAUUUGUCCAUCAAGAUCAAGAGCUAGGUCGAAUUUGAAAGGCGAGGAGAGAUUGAUCCCUUAAGUUUUAUUCUUAAUUAUAGAAUACGAAUUGUGAACCAGGUUGCAGUUUUUAUUUUUUUUAGUUCUUUAUUUUUCCCCAGACCCUACUUUGUGGGACUAUACUGGGUAGUUGUUUUUGUUGUUGUUGUGAUACUCUGAGGUUAGUUUGGUGUUCUUAUUUGCUUCCUAUGCGAUGAAAAAUAUUUUUGUAGAUGAUACACUAGUGUAUCCCUCAUUAUUACUGAUCUAUAUUCUGAACGUUCUCUCAUGUGAAUGGAUUUAGAAAGACACUGAACAUCAUGAGUUUUUAUGCAAAUUUAGCCAAGUGCAUAAUACAAUGGAAACAAAGGACCCAUAUAGGCAAUACCAACUCAUAGGGAUUAGGGCUUAGUUGUUGUUACACUUACUUUAGGCUGGUGUUUGUCAGGAGUGUUUACAUUGUUUAUUCAUGUAGGAUAAGUGUGAGAUUUAUAGGAAGAAACUUAGGAGAUCAAGAUUGCAUGUCAUUCUUGUUCGUCUAUAUAAAAUAUUAAGCAGCCUGAAGAUGCACCCUACAGAACCUUGUGGUGUAUAUUUAUGCAUUAUACUCGUUGCAUUGUUGUAAAUCUUUCUGUAGAUUUAACUUAACUUUAAUAAGCUUUUAGUACUUUUAAAGUUUUUGUGUUUUUCAAGUCCACGCAAUUUGAUUCCUCUUUCUGUUUUCCUGGCAACCUAUCUUGUGAAUGUUCAGGUUGUUCAUCAUAUGGUUUUGGAUGAUAAUUUAGCAUCUUCGCUUCAUAUUGCUGCACAUCUUGAUGGAUUAUACACGAUCAUCCUCUGGGCCCGGUGAAGAUAACAUCGGGAUUCCUGAUGAUUUGCGUUGUAAGAGGUCCGAUGGGAAACAAUGGAGAUGCACUGCAAUGUCUAUGCCUGAUAAGACUGUGUGCGAAAAGCACUACAUACAGGCUAAGAAGAGGGCUGCAAAUUCUGCAAUGAGAGCCAACAUGAAAAAAGGAAAGAGAAAAUCAUUGGAUGAAAAUGAUAUAUAUUCGGAGAGUAAAAGUGAUGAUAUGGAUUUACCAGAUGCGAACCAGAAAAAUGAGGAUUAUUCUGGUGCAGUCUCUGGGAAGAGGCAUAAUGAAAAGGUGUCAAAGAAUCGGAUGGGUUAUUUAUCUGAAACACCUCAAAGCAAGAUGUUUUUAGUUCGCAGCAUGAAGUCUGCUGAUGAUCUAGAUAUGGAAGGUAUGCAGUAUGAUGAAAGCCAUAGAGGUUACAGGACGCCACCCCCUUCUGGUAUGGAGUCAUCCAGAAGCAGAUCGCAGAAGAUGUUUGAUUCAAGUCCUACGACGGUGAGUUUGAACUCAUGGUUGAGUACCGCCGGGAAUGAAGUUACUUUAGGAAGUGGACAAUUGUAUUUUAGUAAAUCUGAGAUUAUUCUAGGACCAUGUGAUGCAGGGAAAGUUCAUUAAGUAAAAAAUAAUUCUACUUAAGAUUAUAAAUUGUGGUGAUCGUUAUGUAAUCUGCACAUUAAGCUUUAUGUAGACAUAUCGCCUAGGAUUCAAUUAGAGUUUCUUAGACCUGAAAUUUCAUUAUCUCUCCAAGUAUCAUAAGUCAACAGUCUGUCAUUGUUUUUUUCUGGUUGUCUGUUGUAUCCUCACUUGGGCUCCCUUAAUUUUUGCCCCUAGGGAACUUCUGAAGCGAGCUCGGAUUCUUCUGAUAAUACAGGGGGGCAACGUUGUCACCAGUGUAGGCGGAACAAUCAACAAGUAACUUGGUGCCUUAGAUGUGAUAGAAGAGGAUACUGUGAAAGCUGCAUCUCAACUUGGUGAGACUCACUAAAAAGAGCAACAUGUCUAGUUUCUCCAUUUCCUAUGCAAUGACUACAGUGAUUAAUGUCAGGUUCUCCGACAUGUCAGUUGAAGAGAUACAGAGGAUUUGUCCUGCGUGUCGUGGUAGUUGCAAUUGUAAAGUGUGUUUGCGUGGAGGCAACUUGAUAAAGGUAUUUACCUAUUAGGCUAAAAGAGCUUUACGUUAGGCAUUCUAUGGUUUGCUUAAUAUUUAUAAAGUAUUCCUUUCUGAUAUGUGUUUCAUUAUUGCUGUAAGCAUAGGUUAGAAUAAAGGAGAUACCUGCACAAAACAAACUGCAGUUUUUCUAUUCCCUUUUAUCUGCAGUUCUUCCGGUUGUUAAGCACAUUCAUAAUCUGCAGUGCUUUGAGGUAGAGCUGGAAAAAAAACUUCGAGGUAUAAGCAUGACCUUUUGCAUCUUUAUUGAGGUAUAGAGGGAUUCCAAAUUUGAUAAUGGUUGAACUAUGAACUGAAUUAUAUUCUCCAGGAAAUGGAAUGGAUCUCGGCCGGACCAAAUUGAAUGCAGAUGAGCAAAUGUGCUGGUAAUAUUUUCACUCUUUUGCCCAUUCCUGCUAUUAGGAAAUGGGCACUCUCAACCUCUGUGCUUGACAAAAUAUAUAUCACCAAGAUGUGUCUGCUUGCAGUAAUUUCUGCAGGAUACCAAUUAUUGAUUACCAUAGACACUGCCCAAAUUGCUCAUAUGACCUCUGCCUCAGCUGCUGCAAAGAUAUCAGAGAUGCGACCAAGGUUAUUCAGGAAGAGAGGGGUAAGCAGUUCCCAGGAAGAGUUGAUGGCAGAGAAGCCACAUCAAAGGAAGAGAAAUUGUCAAACGUUCAUCUAAAUUUAUUCACCAAGCUUUCUGAUUGGAAAGCAGAUAGUAAUGGCUACAUACCAUGUCCACCGAAGCAAUAUGGAGGCUGCAAUUCCUCUGUCUUAUCAUUAAAGCGAAUCUUUAAGAUGAAUUGGGUGGCUAAACUGGUGAAAAAUGUAGAAGAAAUGGUUAGCGGCUGUGAAGUAUGUGAUUCUGGUGAUCUGGAUAAUACCUCUGAAGGGAAGUUGUUCCAGGCUGCUCAUAGAGAGAAUGGUGAUGAUAACUUUUUGUACAAUCCAUCUUCUGAAGAUAUUAGAAGUGAAGGGAUUGAGAAAUUCAGAAAGCAAUGGAGCAGAGGUAAACCUGUUAUCAUCAAGGAUGUUUAUGAUGUAUCAUCAAUGUCAAACUGGGAUCCAGUCGUAAUAUGGAGAGGAGUAAGGGAGACAACUGAGGAGAAAACAAAAGAUGAUAACAGAACUGUGAAGGCCAUUGAUUGCUUUGAUUGGAGUGAGGUUGGUACCAGUUGUCUCUAGCUUGCAUUACUAGCUAGAUCUAGUUUCAACUUGCUUUAGAUUGGCAAUGAGGUUCAUCUCCACUAUCAUAUGUAUGAAAAAAUUGUGUCCACUUUCAGCAGAAGUGGCCUGUUGAUUUCCUUUUAUCUUCGGCUGACCAUACCACCAUCUCUUGUACUUAUUGUUUUACAGAUUGAUAUUCAGCUUGGUCAGUUCAUCCGAGGAUACUCAGAGGGAAGAAUUCAUGAGAAUGAUCUCUUGUACUUAUUGUUUUACAGAUUGAUAUUCAGCUUGGUCAGUUCAUCAGAGGAUACUCAGAGGGAAGAAUUCAUGAGAAUGGUUGGCCAGAAAUGAUCAAAUUGAAAGAUUGGCCUUCUCCUAGUGCUUCAGAAGAGUUUUUAUUAUACCAGAGACCUGAGUUUAUUAGUAAACUUCCUUUACUUGAAUUCAUCCACUCCAAGUGGGGUCUUCUAAAUGUAGCUGCAAAAUUACCUCAUUAUUCCCUGCAGAAUGAUGUUGGUCCUAAGAUUUUUAUUUCUUAUGGGAUGUAUGAAGAACUUGGUAGAGGUGACUCAGUGAACAAUCUGCACAUCAACAUGCGUGACCUAGUGAGUACCAUAAUAUUCUUCUCAUGCCAUCCCUACUUCGAUAAGAUUGUUUCUUGUGGUUGUUUGAAGUCGAUGCCAUGUGACAUGCAAAAUAACUUGAUUUCCACUAUGAGGAUGACGUGUACUCGUACUUGGCAAUGCAUCUCUGAAUUAAAUCUUCAAGACCAUUUAUUUUUCUCUGCAGUAAAAAUUUUGAAGCUUGAGCUGUCAAGAAGAGUCUAAGGUUUCUAGUUAACAAAAACAAAUUUGAUUGUUUAGUCUGUUUGAUAUGACAUUGAUUUGAUAAUGGAAAAUUCCUGAUCCUGGCCUUAAUUUUUAAGUCAUCAGGAACAGAUAUUAAUUUGCACUUCUCCUUUACAUGGUCUUAUAAUACAAAUCCUGAUUUCAGCUGAUAAAUGAUUUGGGUUUGCUGUUUCUUCUCUGUAAUUAGGUAUUCCUUUUGGUCCAUGUCAGUGAGGCCAAACUAAAAGGUUGGCAGAAGACAAAGAUAGGAAAGAUACAGAAAGCCUUUGCUGAAUCUGAUCACAGAGAAUUUCCUUGUGCUGCACUAAAUGUCUCGAGCGAAGGAGAUUUCUCCAAAUUCUCACCUGGUGGAAAUAAAGGGCAUGACCAUUAUGCGGAUACAGAUUCAAAUGCCAAUAAAAUGUUGGUCGACCAAGAGAGCAGAGCUUCUCCGAUUGAUGUAGAUAACUUUAGUCAUGAAGAUCUGAAUGGUUUCAAUUUAAUUGGCUCAGAGACGAGUCACUCUGGGGCUCUUUGGGAUGUCUUCCGCAGGCAGGAUGUGCCGGUGCUGAUCGAGUAUCUAAGAUAUCAUUGGAAGAAACAUGGAGAUUCAGACCGUGUAACAGAUGAUUCUGUACGUUUCUUCUCAAAUGCAAUAAUUUGUCCAAGUAUUUCUCUCUUUAGAAUCUAGAUAUUGAGGUAAUCGUAUCUGCUUCCUACAUUGUUGGUCUCAGGUGUCCAGUCCUCUCCACGAUGGAAUAGUAUAUUUGAAUGAGCAUCAUAAGAGAAAGUUGAAAGAGAUAUUUGGUAAGAGUAAUAAUUUGUUAUUAAAGUUGACAAUGUGAGAUUAAGAUUUGUAAUGCAAUAUGUCAGCCCAAGAAGAUGUUUUCAAGCAUCUUCAUCAUGUGCUGGCAAUUUUGGGCUUACAGUAUCUUCCCCUUGAUAUGCUUGCCUUGGAAUUGGAUUUUUGCUAUCUUGAUGAAACUUUCCUUGAGUUCUUAUUUUUGGGAACUGAUGUGUUCUGCUUUUAGUUCUCAAUUUCGAGAUAUUUAGUCAGACCCUAAAAAUGGACUCUGAUAUGCAAAUAUUCUUCGAAACAUCCAAAUGCCUAUCACUGAUCUUAGCAUUUUCCUUCUCUGUCCUCUAUUGUUUUUCUGUUGCUUGCUUCUAUUUAAACUGUCACAAACUGAUCUCGAUUGAAACUCUGAUUACUCUCAGGAAUAGAGCCUUGGUCAUUUGAACAGCAGUUAGGUGAAGCAAUUUUCAUUCCUGCUGGAUGUCCUUUCCAAGUGAGGAAUCUUCAGGUUAGGGGGCACAAUGAAUUUUAUGAGUGGCUCGUAAACAAUUUAGGUUCUUAAUCCUCCUAGUGUACUCAUAAAAGAAACAUGUUUAUAUAUGUUAAAUGAGGGGCACGACGAAUUUUAUGAGUGGCUCGUAAACAAUUCAGAUUCUUAAUUCUCCUAGUUGUACUCAUAAAAGAAACAUGUUUAUUUAUGUUAAAUGAGGAACUUAGACCUUUUAAAAACACUCUCUACUAGAGCCAUUGAAGAAACUGCAUAAGUACCUUCGUUAGUGUGUGACAUAGAAAGUUCUGCUGAUUGACCUACCUAAUUGCAUCUGAUUCCUCUCCCCAUUUUAUUGCAGUCCACUGUUCAAUUGGGCCUUGAUUUUCUUUCUCCAGAAAGUUUAGGUGAGGCUGUUAGAAUGGCUGAAGAAAUCCGUGGCCUUCCUAAUACUCAUGAUGCGAAGCUGCAAAUGUUGGAGGUCUGAGUGAUGAUUCUUGUUCUUUGCCUACCUUCGCUCCCUUGGAUUGGUAUUAACUUUAUUCAAUCAUUUCAUACAGGUGGGGAAGAUAUCGCUCUAUGCAGCAAGCUCGGCCAUCAAAGAAGUUCAGAAGUUGGUUCUGGAUCCUAAGUAAGCAGUUUCAUGUGUUAUUCUUGUUUUACAGCUUUUCUCUCGAUUUCCUUAUAUAAUAGGGAUGUCUAUGAUAAUUUUAUCUAGAGGUUCUAGGUUGAGGUAGGAAAAACGAUAUUGACUUGUUUAAUAAAUCCUACUGCUGAUCUAUGUGCCAAUCAUUAUUGAUCUCGUCUGCUUAUACUAUUUAGAGGCUUCUAAAGGCCUCUUUGGUUGAGUUCAACUGGAACGGUCAGAAAAACUCCAUCCAUUAGUCCUUUACUCAGUUGUUUGCUUUGCCUCUUCUGUUUUACUCGGAAAAAAGUUAUAAAACCUAAACGGAAGGGGAAAAGACAAGGAUUGUUAUACUCUCUUUCCCAUGAAUCAGUUUUACUAUAGCAUUUCCUUUUGUAAUUUUGUGGUGCAGAGUUGGUCCUGAGCUUGGAUUUGAGGAUCCCAAUUUGACUGCAUUGGUAUCAGAGAACCUGGAAAAGAUGAUUAAGAGACGUCAGGUAGCUUGCGUUUAAAGUGUUGCACAGAGGUUUCUAUCUCUAAAUUCUUAUGUACAGAAAAGACAGCAAAACCCUUUAGGGGAUGUGCAUUGGAGUACUUGCUUUUGUUCUGCUAAAUGCUAGCUUGCUCUCCGGGGAUGUACAUUAUAGUGUUCACAUUUGUUCUGCUAUAUUCUAGGUUGCUCUCGAGUUGUAGCUAUUUUUAUUGUCUUAUGAAGUCAAAAGCUCUGUAUUUCAGUCUUGUAGUAAAAGUUAUCACUAGGUCUAUUGUAACUGUAAUGUCAUAUGAAUGAGCAUUGAUAGUAUAUAACAACAUCAAUUCAAAUGCCAUUUUUUUGAUAGUUAGUAUAUGUUCAAAGUAGAAUUCCAUGCACCCUUGAUGAGGUUUUUUUUAUUUUCUUUUGUUAUCUGUCUUUUUCCUUCACGGGGGAGCAAAAAUAUAUAAGAAGUCAGCUAUGUUGCUUCUUGAACAUUGACAGGGACGUAACUAGUAUAGUUUGGAAGGAUUGGACAGGCGUAGCCUUGAUGGUGAAAAGAAAACCACAGAAAAAUAAAAAGAUGUCCAGAGAAACUCAGUCUUCUUUUUCUGUAUAUUUGGAUGAAAAACAUGUCCAACUGAGAAACAUUAUCUUUAGGAAAAGCAAGUGUGUUGUUUGGAACAUCUGAAGUUUAAGGAGGGAAAUUUCUUUAAUAGUGUCAACAAAUACACACUUCGUUUUCCUAUCUUUAGUAUCACAAAGACCAAACGCAAUCAAUUCCUUGAGUAACUGCGAAUGGUUUGGAUUUUUAUAUCAAGAUGUUGACUUCUGUGUUUUUCUACCUCUCAUUUCUUUGGUGUGUGUCAUGUCCUUCAACUAAAAGAAUACCAAGUUGGACUAUCUGAUGAAUUCAAGCGUCUGGUUAACAUGAGUAUACUACAACAACAAUAACUACCACCUAGUAUAAUCCAACAAGUGAGGUCUAGGAUGGUAGGAUGUGCGCGGCCGUACCCCUACCCUGGGAGGGCAGAUAGAAUAUUUCCAAUAGACCCUCGGCAUGUGAGAGAAACCCUGAUAGCAAGUAAUGGCAAGACAAAUAGAAAAUUAAAUCGAAAGCAACAUAGAAUAUGAAAGGGGUAUCGAUAACAAGUAAUAGCAGUAUAACAUAUUUAGAAAACUAAUUCCAAAGCAGCAAACGAGACUAUGAACGAAGUAUUGCUAGCAAACUACGGAACUACAUGGGUCUGAAAAUAACAUUCUCUCCAAAACACAAAAGCAAAAUUUAUCAAGUGAAUAUGAGUAUUUACAAUAUACAUAUCAAGAUUGUCUUACAUUUCUUUCUAAUCCAAGAAAAGAUAGUAAGCAAACUCCCGAGUCUUGUCCAAUCCAAUGAAAUACUCCUCCCAUUACAUUAUACCCUUAAUAUUAAUGUAGUAGUAGUUCUUUUUAAUAAUGCUCAAUUCUCAAAAAUUAUUUAAUUGGAGUAACUUAGUAAACUAUAUUAUAUUUAUUAUUUUUUCUUCAUGGACGUCAAAAGACUUAAAAACGACUCUUAAAACAAGAGGGAGAGAGUAUUUUUUUUUUUUUUAAAAAAAAAGAAAACCCCGAACAGAAUUGGGGGGAGAGUUCACUGAUCAAAAAGUAACACCAGCUAUAAUUUUGUGACCUAUUUACAUACACAUUGCUUCCAUUUUCUAUGUUAUUAACUAAACAAAGAUGGGUGGAGGUGGGGAUUAAAAAAUGAAAAAGAGUCAUGUGGUCCAAUAUGGUACGAGAGUGGCAUGUCGGUUGGCUUUUUUCGACGGUCGACUGUUAAUUUGAUCUCUCGGUCUCUUCGGAAUUUAUUCAAUCAUCUUAAUAGUAUUAUUUUACUAUCUAGCUUUGUAAUUUAAUGUUGGACGUUUCCUUAAUAAAAAAACAACAAAACAAAAAAGUUUUGGAUGGCGGUCGAUGAAAAAGGACAAGAACACAUUUUUUGUGUUGCACAUCAAGUACUCUUUGGAAUUAAUUCAUUAAUAAGUACUCAAUUUAACUGUAUUAUUAUAAAAGAAAAAAGACUUUGUUACUCUAAUGUCACAUUAUUAGUAACUAACUAAGUAUGUGUAUGACACUUGACAACUCCUCACGAUCUUGCACAAUUUGCUCACGUUCUUGCUAUGUCAAGUCAGUCUUACUACACUCAAGACCGUUAAGGAAAUACUAGAAAGAAUACAAGAGAAUUGCUAAAUGAAGUAUUGUAUUAUUAGAAAAAUUUUAAUUGUUUGUUUGAUGAGUUACAAAUGAAUGUCCCCCCUUUAUAUACUAGUCUCUUAGGGGUCCGGUGUGUAAAUAUUAAUUAUUAUACAAGUCUUUGAUAAGGGCUUUUCUAGAAUUUUCUACAAGUCUAGAAGACUCCAAGGACUUUCCUAACAAAUCCAUAAGGAUCUAGGUUCUUCAUAAGGAAAUGUCCAUACUUCUCUAGAAUAUUCUCACAAAUGCUAGCCUUCUUCUUACAUAAGCUUCCACAUGGCAUUAAUAUACGUCAAAUGGCGCCCAUGUGGCAUGAUGCCAUGGCGGGUCAUCAAACUCUCCCCCCGCCUAAUAUUGUGACGACUGCGGUGCAAUGCUGCUGCAUAAACUCUCGGAUCUUAUCUUUGAAUUGUCGUAAGUCUUCAUGUCGUUUUCAUGUGGCCUCUUCCAAUGAUUGUCGUUUUCAUAUAUUCUACCUCUCAUUUCUUUGGUGUGUGUCAUGUCCUUCAACUAAAAGAAUACCAAGUUGGACUAUCUGAUGAAUUCAAGCGUCUGGUUAACAUGAGUAUACUACAACAACAAUAACUACCACCUAGUAUAAUCCAACAAGUGAGGUCUAGGAUGGUAGGAUGUGCGCGGCCGUACCCCUACCCUGGGAGGGCAGAUAGAAUAUUUCCAAUAGACCCUCGGCAUGUGAGAGAAACCCUGAUAGCAAGUAAUGGCAAGACAAAUAGAAAAUUAAAUCGAAAGCAACAUAGAAUAUGAAAGGGGUAUCGAUAACAAGUAAUAGCAGUAUAACAUAUUUAGAAAACUAAUUCCAAAGCAGCAAACGAGACUAUGAACGAAGUAUUGCUAGCAAACUACGGAACUACAUGGGUCUGAAAAUAACAUUCUCUCCAAAACACAAAAGCAAAAUUUAUCAAGUGAAUAUGAGUAUUUACAAUAUACAUAUCAAGAUUGUCUUACAUUUCUUUCUAAUCCAAGAAAAGAUAGUAAGCAAACUCCCGAGUCUUGUCCAAUCCAAUGAAAUACUCCUCCCAUUACAUUAUACCCUAUUUUAUUAUUUUUUCGUAAUUUUUAAAGAGUUUUAAGUUCAUUUAUUUCCCUAUUUUAUCCAUAAAAACUCAAUAAUUAUUUUUAAAAUUAUCAUUUUAGUGAUUCAUUUAUUGUGCUUUUACAUUUAUGCUAAAAUAUAGCUGAGGUAAUUUUUGAAUAUUUUUAUAAAAUUAUUUAAUAUUUUUAAAGGUUAAAUUAUAUAAUAGCAAUAUUAGCUUCUUUUAGGAUUUAGUUGUAUUUAUGUUCAUGAAAAUUAAGUCCAAUAUUUUUAUAUAAGUAAUUAUAUGUCAUAAAUUAUUUUAGUACUUUUAAUUUAUUUUCAGAAAUUAAUUUGCUAUUUUUGUAAAAUAAAUAGGGGAAAAUGGCAAUUUAGAAUCUAGCUAAAUUUCAUUUCAAUUAUAGCCCAAAAUUGACCCUAAUUCGUACCCAAUAUCCCCUGGCCCAAUUCCUUUUAAAUCCAACCCCUUACCCAUUUAAAUGACCCAAACCGGACGCCCCACCUAACCCAUUUAAUCCCAGUUGUUGAUCGUUUAAGAUCAACGACUCUCAUUAUCACUUUCCUUUUUUAACCCAAACAAACCCCUUUACCCUUCCUACUUCAACACCAACCGCCGUCUCUGAAUCCCUAUUCUCUCUCAACUCUCUCUAAAACUAAACCAAAACCUAGCCACCGCCAUCAAGCUACACCUUAAUCCACCCUAAACCUACCUAAUCCAUGGCUUUCUGUUGUCAUUUGAGACAUGUACCAGCAUUCCAUAGCUUCUAUAUGUUUGGUUCUAUGGUUUCAUGACCAAAUUUCGAAGGAGUUCGGUCCAGUCCACGACCUUUUUCGGCCAUUCAAGGUCUUUCGAGGCGGGUCCUUGACAUUUUCUAGUUAGAUCAUUAACUUUCGAGAUCUUUCAAGUUUCUUUUGGGUUUUCUAAAAUCCUAAUCUCUAAAAUCUUUCGGUUUCUUUCAGAUCUACCUUAGAUCUGUGCUUACCAUGAACUUCUAAGCAUUUUUCAAGGUUCUUUAACUUUGCUUUCAAAACGACUCUUUAUCUUUUCCGAUUAGGGUUUUUCUUUUAAGUUGUUUCCAAAAUCUCUUCUUUGAUUUUAAUGUGUUUAUGAUCUUUCUAUGUUUUGCUCAUGUUGUUCUUCUGUCCGAGUUAGCGUGUUUAAAACCCUAAUUUCUUUUGGGUCUCAAUCGAGUUUUGAAGAUGUGUACAUGUUUGUUUAAGUUCUUGCUUGAUUCAUCUGUUUACCAUCUUUUGAACUCGUUUGUCGUUGAAAACCCUAGGUCUGUGGGUCUAAAAUUGUUGCCUGAACACUUGACUUGAUUUAAAGUUCUUGUUUCGGACUCUCUUUUCUUUAUGUGACUUAUCUAAUUUUUACUAUCUUUCAACUCGACUAUGGUUGAAACCCUAACUUUUUAAAAGGUUUCCUCACAUGUUACUGUGAAACCUUUGAAUGUUUCUGAUACUCUGUUUUCUUCACUAUUGAUUCAAUAUGAAUUGGCCUACUUGAUUAUUAUGCUUCGAAUGUUUGCUUUGCUACUGAACCCUAACUUACACUACUAUAAAUAAGACCUUUAGCGGCAAUAAAAAUGGCUUUAGCGGCAAUAAUAAUACUCGCUAUAUCUUUUAUCAGCCAUUAAACUUUUGCCGCUGAAAUUGGGGUCGGCAAAGCCUUUAGCGGCUAUUCUCGCAAAAGCUGGUAAAGGGUACAUUUUAUUGCUGCUAAAAGUUAUUAUCUUUAAUGACAAUUAUUUGCGGCAAUUAUAAUAUCUACUAAAUUCAAUCCAAAAUGGCUACUUAUACUUCUUUUGGGUCCAUUAUUAUAGCCGCUAUAUUCAAA
This 78351-nucleotide long non-coding RNA is filed under the name Nicotiana benthamiana. Its description in RNAcentral is "long non-coding RNA (NBEN_LNC014399)". Lineage: Eukaryota; Viridiplantae; Streptophyta; Magnoliopsida; Solanales; Solanaceae. The record is from RNAcentral.